GCUCCCGAUCCUUUCGUUCUCGCGAUAGAAAAGAAACAACUGCGACCAUCCCCGCACAUCGUCCACUUCCCCCACGAUUCUCAUCCGUCUCCAGAUCUCUCCCCAUUACCAUCCCUCGUCCUCCUCGCGCACGACGUCGUCGUCCACCUCACCUCCUCCUUCGACAGGUCCGCCGUCCCGUUCGGGGUAACCGUGCUGCUCCUCUUCGCCCCCGUUGCCCCCCAAGCCAUCGGCCCCCGACCGCCCGACUGGCCCCCAUGUCGCUGCACAUGCCCCUCGCCGCCCUCGCGCCGAUGCACAGACACCCCGCUGCCCAGCCACGCUGCCGCGGAAAGAGGCUCCCUGGUGGCUCUCGAAACCCCGUCGAUCCCUCUCUAUACACGCAGAUACCCAGCCUUGAGGCACCCACGCGGAACAGAUCUGGCGAGACGCAGAGACAGACGAGAGGAGGAGCCCGCCGCCGAUCUUUAGUGCCCAGCCGCUGCCGGAGCUUCAACGCACAGCCGCUGCCGGAGCUUCAAUGCCGGCGUCUUCCUCCGGCAGCCUAUCUUCCCCAGGUGAUUCCUCCCCUCUCCGCCACUCCAUCCCCUAGGGUCAUGGAUGGCGGCCUUCUUCCUCCUUGCAUUGCAUGGGCAUGGUGUUUUGUUCUUGUCCAGCCCAUCUUACUAUUCAAGAGAUUUGAUAUUGAUUGACACGCUGUUGGUCGAAUUUUAUUAGAAGUCAGUACUAAUGCUGCAGUUCGUCAGUCUGGAGAAGACAAUUUCUUCAGAGAUCAUUGUAUUUUCCUGAGCAGAACUGAUGUACUUGAAGCUUUAAUCAUGAUAGAACCCACCAUGAUAGAACUGAUGUACCUAAGCAGAUUUAUUAGAACCCACCAUACAUUUUAUUUCUAUAGAUUUAUUAGAACCCACCAUGAUAGAACUGACGUACCCGAGCAGACAAUGAGAGAGAUCUUGUCAUCUCUUCUCCUGGCACGAAGAACUUAAUCAUGGAGUAGAUUGAAGGUACACAAUUUCAGAUUUGUACGUGCAGAGGUGCGCUUAGUAACGACAGUUCUUGGCUUCAUUUACCGGAACAUCGUUAGGUCCUUACAUGAUCCUUAUUUGAUCAAAUUGCUGGUUAGUACUUUUACAGGAACAUGGAAACCAAAAUAUGUGCUCUGUAUCCAUUCUUAUCAUGUGUGUGCUCUCAAAAUCAAGCUUCAUGCUACAACGGCCAAUAUAACUUAAACCAACAAUCAUCUAAAGUUCUGAAGAUGCCUCACCAUGCAAUAUGUGUAGCUAACUGAAGAUAAAUUAAUGAUUUAUGUUCAUGUAUCCUUUUAAUACUGGUUCUUUUUUUCUGUUCAUGUUAUGCAAGCUGGAUUCAGCAGUUUUCUAUGGCUAAAAGUCAAUUGACAUGUCAAUAUACGCGAGCAUGUCUUUGCGUUUAGGAGUUGAGAAGACUUUGAGUGCACGCCAAGGGAAAGGUGAAUCAGUUGAUGUAGGUGAAUUUUCUUGAAAUGAAAGUGUGGCUUCUUAAAUACCAAGCUUAUAUGGAAGUGNNNNNNNNNNNNNNNNNNNNNNNNNNNNNNNNNNNNNNNNNNNNNNNNNNNNNNNNNNNNNNNNNNNNNNNNNNNNNNNNNNNNNNNNNNNNNNNNNNNNAUGAUGUGUCUGAACGUCAUAGCCACGCACUAUUUGGUAUGGUGCAUACUAUGAUGUCUCUUAUCGAAUUACCACUAUCGUGUAUGGGUUAUGCAUUAGAGACAACCGCACUUACUUUAAAUAGGGCACCGCGUAUUUCUGUUGAGAUGACACAGUAUAGAAUGAGGUUUAGAGAAAUCUAAACUGUUGUUUCUUGAAAGUUUGGGGCUUCGACACCUAUGUGAAAAAGUUUCAGUCUGAUAAGCUCGAACCCAAAGCGGAUAAAUGCAUCUUCAUAGGAUAUCCAAAACAGUUGGGUACAUCUCCUAUCUCACAUCGAAAGCAAAACAAAACAGUUGGGUACAUCUCCUAUCUCAGAUCCGAAAGCAAAGUGUUUGUUUCUAGAAACGGAUCCUUUCUCGAGGAAAGGUUUCUCUCGAAAGAAUUGAGUGGGAGAGUGGUAGAACUUGAUGAGGUUAUUGAACCAUCACUUCAACCAGUGUGUAGCAGGGCGCAGGAAGUUGUUCCUGUGGCACCUACACCAAUUGAAGUGGAAGCUGAUGAUGGUGAUCAUCAAGCAUCAGAUCAAGUUACUACAAGCCUCGUAGGUUGACAAGGUCACGUACUACUACAGAGUGGUACGGUAACCAUGUCUUGGAGGUCAUGUUGUUGAGCAACAGUGAACCUACGAGUUAUGGAGAACGCGAUGGUGGGCCCAGAUUCCGACAAAUGGGUGGAAGCCAUGAAAUCCGAGAGAGGAUCCAUGUAUGAAAACAAAGUGUAGACUUUGGAAGAACUACUUGAUGGUGAGAGGACUAUUGAGUAAAGAUGGGUCUUUAAAAGAAAGACAGACGAUGAUGGUGAUAAAUCACUAUUAAGAAAAGCUCGACUUGUCGCAAAGAUGUUUCCGACAAGAUCAAACUGUUGACUAUGAUGAGUCUUUCUCACUCGUAGCGAUGCUAAAGGUCUGUUAGAAUUAUGUUAGUUGUUGAUGCAUUAUUUAUGAAAUAUUGCACAUCGGAUGUCAAAACAUUGUUUUCUCAACGGUUUCUUUGAGCAAACAUUGUAUGUGAUACAACCAGAAGGUUUUGUCGAUCCUNNNNNNNNNNNNNNNNNNNNNNNNNNNNNNNNNNNNNNNNNNNNNNNNNNNNNNNNNNNNNNNNNNNNNNNNNNNNNNNNNNNNNNNNNNNNNNNNNNNNUGUGUACUUUACUAGUACUCCUAGUAGCACGAGGGUAUUGGAUACCGAUUCGGUUGCUAAGUGAUUAGUGACGCGAAAUGAAAGCUACGGCAUAAACGGAUACUAGCUAGAGGCGAGGUGACGAUACGUGUUGGAAGUGUUUCCAAGAUUGAUAUGAUCAAACGUCGCACGCUCCCUCUACCAUCGGGAUUGGUGUUAAACCUAAAUAAUUGUUAUUUGGUGCUUACAUUAAGCAUGAACAUGAUUGGAUCGUGUUUAUUGCAAUACGAUUAUUCAUUUAAAGAGAAUAAUGGUUACUCUAUUUGCUUGAAUAAUCACCUUCAAUGGUUUAUUGAAUCUCGAUCGUAGUGUUACACAUGUUCAUGAUAUUGGUGCCAAAAGAUACAAGUUGAUGAUGAUAGUACCACUUACUUGUGGCACUGCCGCUUGAGUCAUGUUAGUAUAAAUUGCAUGAAGAGGCUCCAUGCUGAUGGAUCUUUGUACUCACCUGAUUUCGAAUCACUAGUGACAUGCGAAUCAUACCACAUGAGCAAGGCCUUGUUUUCAUUGAGAUGAAAUAAGAUAGUAACUUGUUGGAAGUGAUACAUUUUGAUGUAUGCAGUCCAAUGGGUGCUGAGGCACGCAGUGGAUAUCAUUAUGUUCUUACUUCACUGACGAUUUGAGUAGAUACAGGAGUAUUUACUUAAUGAAUCACAAGUCUAAAAUGUUGAAAAGUUCAAUUCCGUUUCAGAGUGAAGUUCGUCGUAACAAGAGGAUAAACUGUCUACGAUAUGAUCAUGGAAAUGAAUAUCCGAGUUACGAGUUUUGGUACACAGUUAAGACAAUGUGGAAAUUGUUUCGCAGUUCAUGCCACCUGGAACAUCAUAGUGUGAUGAUGUGUCUGAACGUCAUAGCCACGCACUAUUUGGUAUGGUGCAUGCUAUGAUGUCUCUUAUCGAAUUACCACUAUCGUGUAUGGGUUAUGCAUUAGAGACAACCGCAUUCACUUUAAANNNNNNNNNNNNNNNNNNNNNNNNNNNNNNNNNNNNNNNNNNNNNNNNNNNNNNNNNNNNNNNNNNNNNNNNNNNNNNNNNNNNNNNNNNNNNNNNNNNNUUUAAUUCAAAAUUCCUAUUUUUAGUAUGCAAAUUUUUUUGUAAUUCUAAAUUAUUUAAAUUAUAAAUAAAAAAAAGUGGAACAGAAAAUUUUAAAUAAAAAAAACUAUCAAAACAGGCAUUAGCUAUUUUUAAAAUUUUAGGACAUUUUUUAAAUGCAUUAACAUAUUUUGAAUUAGAAAGCAUUUUCUUAAAUGCCUUUAAUAAUUUUUAAUACAUGGAAUUGUAUUUGAGAUCAUGGACUUUUUUAUUGUACACACAUUUUUCUAAAAUUGCAAACAUUUUAUUGUAUAUGCUAGCAUUUUUUACAAAACUCCGAGCAGUUUUUGAAGUUACAAACAUUUUAAUUUUUAAAAUAUGUUGAUUUAUAAUUUUCAGUUUAUUAAAAUUUUAAAGAUUAUUUGAAGUUCUAAAUUACUUAAAAUAAAAUAAUAAAACGGAAUUGAAAAUAAAUAAAUAAACAAAACUAAAAGCAGGCGCCUGUGCAUGGGCCGGCCCAUACGGUGUGUUGGAUAUUCUCCCAGCGUGCUGAGCAUAAUAUAGGAUGUUUUUACAUGGGCUGGCCCGGUUCAAGACUUUUCGCUUUGUGAAACGUUUUCUAUUACUUACCAGUGGCAUGGUGGGUAAUUUAUGCAAACUUUAGGGGUAAUUUUCAAAACGGACGACCAGAAACCGUAUUUGCUUUAUUAUUAGGGAAAGNNNNNNNNNNNNNNNNNNNNNNNNNNNNNNNNNNNNNNNNNNNNNNNNNNNNNNNNNNNNNNNNNNNNNNNNNNNNNNNNNNNNNNNNNNNNNNNNNNNNAUCAUCAUUAACUUCCUCCUCAACCGGCGUCGCAACGACAGAGGUUUCCCCUUGCCCUGCGCCACCAUCCAGAGGGAUGAGAGGUUCGACAACCUCGUCAAGUUCUAUCUUCCUCCCACUCAAUUCUCUCGAGAGAAACUCCUUCUCGAGAAAAGUUCCGUUCUUAGCAACAAACACUUUGCCCUCGGAUUUGAGAUAGAAGGUGUACCCAACUGUCUCUCUUGGGUAACCUAUGAAGACGCACUUUUCCGCUUUGGGUUCCAGCUUUUCAGGCUGAAGCUUUUUGACAUAAGCAUCACAUCCCCAAACUUUAAGAAACGACAACUUUGGCCUUUUGCCAUACCACAGUUCGUAUGGUGUCGUCUCAAUGGAUUUCGAUGGUGCCCUAUUUAAAGUGAAUGCAGCUGUUUCUAAUGCAUAACCCCAAAAUGAUAAUGGCAAAUCAGUAAGAGACAUCAUAGAUCGCACCAUCUCUAACAAAGUACGAUUACGACGUUCGGACACACCAUUACGCUGUGGUGUUCCAGGCGGUGUUAACCGCGAAACAAUUCCACAUUGUCGUAAGUGAGUACCAAACUCGAAACUCAGAUAUUCACCCCCACGAUCAGACCGUAGGAACUUGAUCUUCUUGUCAUGAUGAUUUUCCACUUCACUCUGAAACUCCUUGAACUUUUCGAAUGUUUCAGACUUGUGCUUCAUCAAGUAGACAUAACCAUAUCUACUUAAAUCAUCAGUGAAGGUGAGAAAAUAACGAUAUCCGCCACGUGCCUCUACGCUCAUUGGACCACACACAUCGGUAUGUAUGAUUUCCAAUAAGUCACUUGCACGCUCCAUUGUUCCGGAGAACAGAGUUUUAGUCAUCUUGCCCAUGAGGCAUGGUUUGCACGUGUCAAGUGAAUCAAAGUCAAGUGACUCCAAAAGUCCAUCAGCAUGGAGUUUCUUCAUGCGCUUUACACCAAUAUGACUUAAGCGGCAGUGCCACAAAAAUAUGGCGCUAUCAUUGUUUACUCUAACUCUUUUGGUCUCAAUGUUAUGUAUAUGUGUAUCGCUAUCAAGAUUCAAUAUGAACAAUCCUCUCACAUUCGGUGCAUGACCAUAAAAGAUGUUACUCAUAGAAAUAGAACAACCAUUAUUCUCAGACUUAAAAGAGUAACCGUCUCGCAAUAAACAAGAUCCAGAUAUAAUGUUCAUGCUCAACGCAGGCACUAAAUAACAAUGACUUAAGUUCAUCACUAAUCCCGAUGGUAGCUGAAGUGACACUGUGCCGACAGCGAUUGCAUCAACCUUGGAACCGUUUCCUACGCGCAUCGUCACUUCAUCUUUCGCCAGCCUUCGACUAUUCCGCAGUUCCUGUUUCGAGUUGCAAAUAUGAGCAACAGAACCGGUAUCGAAUACCCAGGCACUACUACGAGAGCCGGUUAAGUACACAUCAAUAAUAUGUAUAUCAAAUAUACCUGAUUUUUCUUUGCCCGCCUUCUUAUCUGCCAGAUACUUGGGGCAAUUGCGCUUCCAGUGACCCAUACCCUUGCAAUAGAAGCACUCCGUUUCAGGCUUAGGUCUAGCCUUGGGUUUCUUCGGCGGAUUGGCAACAGGCUUGCCGCUCUUCUUCGAAUUUCCCUUCUUGCCUUUGCCGUUUCUCUUGAAACUAGUGGUCUUGCUCACCAUCAACACUUGAUGUUCUUUACGGAGUUCAGACUCUGCGACUUUCAGCAUCGCAAACAACUCGCCGGGAGACUUGUUCAUCCCUUGCAUGUUGUAGUUCAACACAAAGCCUUUAUAGCUUGGCGGCAGUGAUUGAAGGAUUCUGUCAGUGACAGCUUCUUGCGGGAGUUCAAUCCCCAGCUCAGCUAGACGGUUUGAGUACCCAGACAUUUUGAGUACAUGUUCACUGACAGACGAGUUUUCCUCCAUCUUGCAAGCAUAGAAUUUAUCGGAGGUCUCAUACCUCUCGAUCCGGGCGUUCUUCUGAAAGAUAAACUUCAACUCUUGGAACAUCUCAAAUGCUCCAUGACGCUCAAAGCGACGUUGAAGUCCCGGUUCUAAGCCAUACAAGACUGCACAUUGAACUAUUGAGUAGUCCUCCUUACGUGCUAACCAAACGUUCUUAACAUCCUGAUCAGCCGUAGCGGGUGGUUCAUUUCCUAGCGCAGCAUCAAGGACAUAAUCCUUCUUCCCAGCUUGUAAGAUUAGCCUAAGAUUACGAGCCCAGUCUACAAAGUUGCUUCCAUCAUCUUUCAACUUAGCUUUCUCUAGGAACGUAUUAAAAUUCAGGGUGACUGUUGCGUGAGCCAUGAUCUACAACACAAACAUAUUCAAAGUGGACUUAGACUAUGUUCAAGAUAAUUAGAGUUCAACUUAAUCAAAUUAUGUGCUAAACUCCCACUCAAAAAGUACAUCUCUCUAGUCAUUUGAGUGGUUCAUGAUCCACCUACACUAUCCCAAGUCCGAUCAUCACGUGAGUCGAGAGUAGUUUCAGUGGUAAGCAUCCCUAUGCUAAUCAUAUCAACUAUAUGAUUCAUGAUCGACCUUUCGGUCUCAUGUGUUCCGAGGCCAUGUCUGCACAUGCUAGGCUCGUCAAGCUUAACCCGAGUGUUCUGCGUGCGCAACUGUUUUGCACCCGUUGUAUGUGAACGUUGAGUCUAUCACACCCGAUCAUCACGUGGUGUCUCGAAACGACGAACUGUAGCAACGGUGCACAGUCGGGGAGAACACAAUUUCGUCUUGAAAUUUUAGUGAGAGAUCACCUCAUAAUGCUACCGUCGUUCUAAGCAAAACAAGGUGCAUAGAAGGAUUAACAUCACAUGCAAUUCAUUAAGUGACAUGAUAUGGCAUCAUCACGUGCUUCUUGAUCUCCAUCACCAAAGCACCGGCACGAUCUUCUUGUCACCGGCGCCACACCAUGAUCAUCCAUCAACGUGUUUCCAUCGUGGUUGUCGUGCUACUUAUGCUAUCACUACUAAAGCUACAUCCUAGCAAAAUAGUAAACGCAUCUUCAAGCACAAACGUUAGUAUAAAGACAACCCUAUGGCUCCUGCCGGUUGCCGUACCAUCGACGUGCAAGUCGAUAUUAUCUAUUACAACAUGAUCAUCUCAUACAUCCAAUAUAUCACAUCACAUCGUUGGCCAUAUCACAUCACAAGCAUACCCUGCAAAAACAAGUUAGACGUCCUCUAAUUUUGUUGUUGCAUGUUUUACGUGGUGACCAUGGGUAUCUAGUAGGAUCGCAUCUUACUUACGCAAACACCACAACGGACAUAUAUGAGUUGCUAUUUAACCUCAUCCAAGGACCUCCUCGGUCAAAUCCGAUUCAACUAAAGUUGGAGAAACCGUCACUUUCCAGUCAUCUUUGAGCAAAGGGGGUUACUCGUAACGAUGAAACCAGUCUCUCGUAAGCGUACGAGUAAUGUCGGUCCAAGCCGCUUCAAUCCAACAAUACCGCGGNNNNNNNNNNNNNNNNNNNNNNNNNNNNNNNNNNNNNNNNNNNNNNNNNNNNNNNNNNNNNNNNNNNNNNNNNNNNNNNNNNNNNNNNNNNNNNNNNNNNCACUCUGAUCGGCAAUGUUGUGGAAGCAGGAGGGAAGAAGAGGUGGGGAUCUCACGAGGGCUCUUAAGAGAAGGAAGGAAGAUAGCGAGAAGAUGAGAGGAGAAAUUAGACGGUCUCCUUACACCAAAUAUUGUUCAAUCGUUUGGACUUUAUUAAUCUAUCUAUAUAUACGUAUAAAGUUGAAACACAUAGCCUUUUUAUGAGAACCUAAAAAACCCGAUGUCAACUGCGUCUCAAACUUGUUUAGCACACAAAAUCCAGAUGACGAUCGAAUAACUCUAGAUGAAUAUAUGUCGUCCUUGUGAGGACGUCAGGUUUCUUGGCGAAAGAAAGAAUGUCAGUUGAAGUGAACAGAAUAAGCAUCAAAUCAGGCAAGGGGAAAUACUAAAAAGAUGCGAUUCGAGUAGCGACGGAAGCGCGUUGGUAAUCCAAAGGGAAAGGUGGCAGCCGGCCGUGGCGCAUGCAAAUCCAAAUCCAAGGAGCCACCACCACACCAUACCACCAACCCUGCUCCUGCUCCUGCUCCCACGCCACCGUCUCACGCGGGUGCCGAGCCGCCUCCUUGCCGAGAUUGGGAGAGUGUGGUGGUGUGGCCGCGUGUGCCUCUCCCUUUCGCUCUCCCCCUAGGCUUGCUCUUAUAUAUACUCCAGUACAACGCGUUUCCCAAAGCCCCAAUCCCGCAGCGCUCGGCUCCUCGAUCCCCCGCCCCCGACGACACCACCCUCCAUUGCCAUUAUUCCCCUUCCCCACACGCUACUGUACUACUGCUACUCAGCUCCACCGCCGCCACCAACGUCGCGGAAGCGCGCGAUGGCGCCGAAGCGGCCGCUGGAGGUUGUGUCGCCGGAGCAGGUGCAGGAGGGGCCGCGGUCCCCGAGGAAGCGGCUGCGCAGGACGGUGCUCGUCGUGAUGUGCCCCGCGCGGAUCUGCAUGCGCUACAGGGAGAGGAGGAGGGCGAGCGCGGCCACCGUCGAGCAGCUGGCGCAGAUGAUUCGCCGGGUGAGGCCAGGCCAUUCGUUCGAUCCCUCUCCCCGCGUUCCGGUUUUGUUCUCUUCGCUGUGCCUGUGCCUGUGCGUAGCCUACUGAUGAUGAUGAUAAGUCUGGUGGGUCGUGCGACAGGUGCAACUCGACAUCGCGAGACUUUUCAUGCUCUUCAGGGUGUUUGGUGGUGACUCCAUGUCCAUGGACAGGCUGCUAGUGCUCCUCGACCUCCCCAACAUAAUCCAGAGAUUGUUGGCGGAGCAGCUUGCUGCUCUUCAGAGGUAUAUACACAUAUCAUUUAUGUUUUGCAAGCACUCGUGUCCAUGCCAGAAUUGAGAUGCCCGAAUAUAUAUAGCUAGGAAAUGUCACAUUUCGAUUUCAGGAAACUUUAGAGUAGUAAUAAUUGAAGCCCUGGUUUGCUUUCUGGGACCUGCAUGCCAUUUUUAUCCUCUGUUUGAGAAACAAGCAUCCAUCGUUUUGCCUUUUUGAUUGAUUGAUUGAUGACAAGAUUGAUGUUGACAACAUGACGGCUCAUAUUUUUGGAAACGAAAACUUGACAAGCAUAGUAGUAGUACUAUUCCAGGUUCAGGUUGUCAGGUUAUAUUCAUCGAGUGUGAGUAAAUGAAUUAUAUAUAGAUUUGUCCUUCCUAGCUAAAUAUAUGGAAAUUGUCUCUGUGUCUAUUUAUUUAGUACUCCUGUCCUGUUAUACUUUGGAAUGUUGUGGAUGCAUGCGAUGUGAUGGAUCGAUGCUUCCUUGGUUUAAUUAUUAAUUAAUCUAUCUCCUGUUGUGUAUUGUUUUGUAUCCAACAGUUUUUUCAUGGUAUCCAUACAAGAUAUGGUUCGAUCGACACUACAGACAGCGGUUAGAAUCUGGAUCUUCAUCCGUGUAAUAUGUUUUGUAUAUCUGUACCUGCACUUUAUCUUAACUCAAUGUUGCUAUGUCAUGCAACAGAUGCAGGGACGACAGGAAGCUCUGGUUCCUAAUGUCAUUAAUGACCCUCCUAGGUACCUGCCAUUUUUUUAAUUGUAAUUGUUUUUUGAUUUAUUUCAUGAUACCUAGCGUCAAAUCAAGUAUUUGCUUUCUACAUAAUCUGGGAAGUUUCCUUUUGUUACUGUCUCACUCUCAUCUUAUUUCAAAAUAUAGGCACAUGCGACAAGGUUUUCCUGAUACUGGAGGCAACACUCGAGUCAAGCUGCGGUUUGUCGAUGUUGACAGACCAGAAAAUCCACUUUUCACUGGUUGCCCAGUAAAAUGGCAGAAUGGAGAAAACCCAAAGGUGGCGAUAUUUGAAAAUAAUACGCAAAUCACGCAGGGCGAACUUUCCAAGUUGCAAAUUGAGAUCUUAGCAGUCAAUGCUGAUUUCUUUACUGAGCAAGGACAAGAAGACUUCACCAAAGAGCAAUUCAACAAGCAAAUAUAUUUGUGUAAGGGAAAAGAUUCAGUCUUAACAACUGUUAAUCUAGCAAACGGCGAGGCCUAUAUUGGCUCCUUCUUCUUUACUGAGAGCUCCCAGAGGAAAAGGUUAAGAUUGACAGCACGAGUGAAAAAACAGGAUCUUGAUGUCAGAGUUCAAGAAGCAAUUACUGAUCCUUUUGUUGUCCAAGUCAGCCGAAAUAAAGGUGAGUAUGUCCUCUUAUCCAUUCUGAACAUCAAACCUUUUUAACUACUCCCUCCGUUCCUAAAUAUAAGUCUUUUAAGCGAUUUCAUUAAAGGUCUAUAUACGAAGCAAAAUGAUUGAAUCUAUACUCUAAAGUAUGUCUAUAUACAUCCGUAUGUAGUCCACUAGUGAAAUCUCUACAAAGACUUAUAUUUAGGAACGGAGGGAGUAUAUGGCAUUGGAAAUUUAAUACACUCUGUAAUUUGCUCAUUAAAUUAAUCAUUUAUUGCUUGCCAUAGUUGGUUGAAGAACAUGUUCGCUGAUUUGAGUAAAAACAAUGCUAAAGCACACAUCAUAUCUUUCAUACAAUUUUAUUUUACCUGAUUUGCAGUGAUAUUAUAUUAUCUGAAAAUAUGAAGUCUUAGCACUAAUUGUUCUGUCACGAAGUGCUGUUCAAAACGGCGACGCUCAGGCACCUCACCUAGGGCAUAAACCGAGGUCUAGGCAGGCCAAGCGAGAAAUUGUCGACUCCAGCGAGAGAUCAGGACAUAUUGCACUGACGGGCCAAAUGGGCCAUAUACCAAUGGACAGUAGCCGGUAGUUUACUCAUUUACAUGCCCUUAAUUAAUGGUUAUAAGCAUAUACUCCCUCCGUACCUAAAUACUUAUAGUUCUCUCCAACUACAAGUAUUUAGGUACAAAGGGAGUAAUACACAAAUACACCCUGACAGUCAAAACUGCAUGAAGUACUGCACUUGGAUUUGGGACGGCACUUUUCUUCGGUCAUUACAUAUUUUAUUUUGAGUUCUAUAUUAGGUCGUAGAUUAAUAAUGAGCAUGCUAGAUCGGUUUAUAAUUCACCAUGUACAUUAAUCCUUUCCUGAAUACCAUUAUCAUCAGAUGCAAUGGUAGCCAGAAUGAAUGAAUUGCAUAUUAGCAAUCUUGUCUUAACACAUCAAACAUUUUUGUUUACUUUCAGCAAAUAAAAAGAGUUAUCCUCCAUCUAAACAAGAGGCAGUACAUUGUUUGGAGAGAAUUGCUGCAGAUGGAAAACAUUGCCAGUACCUAGCUGGUAAAAGUAUUACUACGGUGAAGCACUUCAUGCGUCAUUAUCACAUAGAUAAAUCUAGUCUCCAAAAGGUAAAUAUACAGUUAUAAACUUGUGAUGGUAUUUCUACAGUCUUCAGUGCUUCAAAUUAUCAGCAAUAGAUAUAAUUAGUCAUUGUCAGGAAUCAGAAAUAAAAUAUCCAGCAUCUCCUAAGAAUGAUUUUGACUACAUGCUAUAUGUAUUCAUGUGCACUAUGCAUGGCAUCUGGUAGCAUUUCAUUGAUUUCUAAGAGAACUGUCUUGAUUUCUUGCAAUUAGCUUACUGACAUGAAGAACGAGAAUUGGAGUACCUUGAUUAAACAUGCCACCACGUCUGAUCCUGGGGUUGAGAUAUAUUCUUAUGGAGUUGCAGAGGAAAAUAUUGAACUUCUAUUCAAUGAUUUCUAUUAUCUUGUUGGUAUGAUGAUUGGUGGAGACUAUGUUCCUGUCAAUGAUCUUGAUCAGCUUCAGCAGGUAUACGUUUGUUCAAUUUCCAUCGCAAUUAGGCUGUUGGCAUUCACUAAAAUAAUAUUGUGCUAGCAAUUAUCUUGGAAAUGCUGUCAUGUGGUUACAAGGUACUCCCACCGUCCCAUAAUAUAAGAGCGUUUUUUACACUCUUAUAUUAUGAGACGGAGGGAGUAUAUAGCAAGAUUUACAUUUGGAAAUUGGACUGCUUCCUAAUGUCAUAGUGAAUAACUAUUGGAUAACCUAACUCUGGCAUUGCUGAACCAAAACAAGGUAAAAUGAUGUUAUUGUACGUAUAGUUAGGACCAAUGUAUGCAUUUUCUCAUGUCGAGACUCUGUUUCUGUACUGUAGAGUUUAUUUUAUCAAUAAAGAUAUGCACGCGUGAUGAAAAUGUGUUGUACUAUUACUUUUUGUUUCCAAUAUCUAAAAACCUAGAAUAAGAAAUAUAUGGAGCAGUUUGAUUGCCAACUUGCGGUGUUUCUGUGCCCGCACAGUGUAAACACAUUCGAACAUAGUGGAUUCAACAGAGGGAGGAUCUAAUCACCAUCCUAGUGCACUUAACUGAAAAUCCUUAAGAUGACCAGAGAGAAUAUAAACACUUUAUUAGCACCAAUAGAUUGCCUUCCUAUUCAAAUAUUGCUUUCCGAUGGUUUAGAAGAUUUUAUAAACAUCUGAGCAUUAGAUGCUUUGCUGUAUACUCCCUCCGUUCGUAAAUAUAAAUCUUUUUAAAGAUUUCACUAGGGGACUACAUACGGAACAAAAUUAGUGAAUCUACAAUCUAAAAUAUGUCUAUAUACAACCGUAUGUAGUCUCCUAGUAAAACCUCUAAAAAGACUUAUAUUUAGGAACGGGGGAGUACAAAUCUACAAGCAAGCAUGCACUUGCACAUUGUGACAGCGAUGACAUAAAUGAAACAUUCUGUUACAGCAUAAAGCGAACAACUGGAAAAAAUCUGCAUAUAAGAAAUUUGAAGAGCGGGAGAGCUCAGGGGGUCUUACCCCUGAUUACUUCAUGAACAAGAACAAUGGCCGCCCUGUCCCUGUCCGUGAAGUGCCUCUGAACAAUGAUGCAGGUCCUUCUGUACAAGCUAGAACUACGUGGCAAUAUCCUAAUGACAUGGCUGCACAACACGGUGAUUUUUUAUAUUUUAGUCCAUCGCUGUUGCCCUACAUGUUUCACUAAAUUCAACUUAUUGCAGAAUUUGGUGAUCAACGUCCAUUGAGUGUGUUCUCACGGGCCGCAAUCCUGUCAAACAAUGAUGCUGGUCCUUCAAACCAAGAAACACUGCUGUUUCCACAGCACACGUAUGAACAGAUUCUGCAUCAAGGUUAAUAUUAAACACCUGCAUAAUUUUGUAUCACACAUCCUCUAUACUGUAAUUGCUUCUUCAUCGCAACUUUUUGUUGUUUUUGUUGACUUCUGAUGGUUUUGGUGGUUAACUUACUGUAGGACUUGGUGAGCACGGUCCUUCUAUUCCACAGAAUGGAACUCCUUACUGUCUGCCCCAGGAAAAUAUCUUAAAUGAUCAGGGACAAUUUUCAGCACAGUCCACUAUUCCGCCCCGCAAUUUUUCACCGGUAAGUAAAGUUACCUAUGGCACAAUCAACAAUUCCAUCCUGCAAUUUUUCAUUGACAACCUGAACUCUUUCGUGGAUGCUAGGUUCCACAGGAUGACAUGAUCACAGGUGCAAGUCUAGCUGCCCAGGGAGAGGGAACCUCUUCACUUGGCCAUGUUUUUGCUGACCUUUCCAGUGGGUUUCCUUCAGAUCAAGUAUGUGUUCAUUUGAAUAAGUAUCUUUGUACUGACUUAAGUAUAUCAGUAUGUAGCAGUUAUACGGCUUUAAAUUUUUUCCUUUGUUAUGUCAUGAUGGUGUUUGUCUUGCAGUUCGGGGACUGCAACGGCCUGGAUCUGGAUAUAACUGAAUAUAUGAAGAACAAUGGCAUUGCACCAGCUAACAACGGUAUGCAAAUAUUUGAAAUUUCAAUACCCAUGGUACCACAGUGAAAAGGCGAUAAAUUUACGCGAUUUUCAAUGCCUUAGUGAUAACUUCUGUUGAUAUAAGCUCAACUGCUAAAUCAGGGAGCUUGUGUUGCAAUCAUCUUCCACAGUCAGAACUCUUUCCAUUUCAAUCUAGGAUGAUAGCAAAUUGGUAUUUACCUUCAUUAAAUCUAGAGUGUGCAUGUUUGACUGAUGACUACCAAACUGUUGAAACCCCGGCUGCUUAAAAGUUAAAUCUAGGCCUGGAUUUAAGAUCCUCCUCUUGAUCCGUGCGCUAAUGUCAUGUUUCUUUUGUUUCAGCAGACCUGUGGAACGCUAACGCCCCAUUUGAUGGUUAUGGACAUGAUGGUGGCAACCAGUGAUUGAUUAAACUUGAGACCACUGCAACAGGCUUAAUUUCCUCUACUAGACUCAUGAUGAUGGCAGUGUGUGAUUAAAUUAUUUGUGGUGAUUAAACAUUUCGUCUGUAAAUAUUGGUAGUGUUGCCAGUCCUAAUAGACAAUAUUGUUCAGCAACGUUAAAUUUGCUGUUGGUUGUAAUAGACAUUUGGCUUGUAUUCCUAAAAGCAAAUCUUUCAGAACAAGAACAUAUGUAACAUGUAUCGAAUACCUAGAGCGAAUAUUCAUAUUGAUUGACGAACUUCCGUCCGAUCCUGUUAAUCCAUCCUUAAUCCUUUUCUAAGUUGAGCAAAUAUUCGUACUGCAGAACUUGCUUGGUGUAAUCCUGUUAAUCCAUCUUCUUCCAAGUUAAGUGUUUCCUAUGGAUAUUCACACAUUGGCUGUAUGCAUCAAUUGAUGCAGAGGCCGGUGGUUUUAACCUCCUUUUCCAAAAAAAAAAGAAAAGAUGUUCACGCAUUUUCAGUCAUAGUUUGUUGUGCAUUAUGAAAUCGCUCUCAGCAAUUUGAACAUGGUAAAAAUACACAGAAGAGAAGAGGAGAGAGAACAUGAUAGUUGUACUACAAGAUUUCAGUUUCGUAAAUACCACAGAGCUUCCAUUCCUCCUACACCAAGUCCACACAGAUCGACACCACAAGCCCUCAUCCUCCGCUGCCCAUCUGCCAAAGCAAACAAGAACACACAAGACAGUUCAGGCAGGCAUGGAUGCAGAGUUCACCUGAGUUGGGAGGGACUGACUAGCCAACCAUGCAAAUGCAAGCAGGGCGGAGAAUUAGUAGCCGAUGUCGGCGCCGUCGUCGACCAAGGUCGCCGUUGAUGCCGGGGAUAGGUAUCGAUCACACGGUGUUAUGGGCCCUGGUCAAGAUCGCAGGAGGAGACGCUUCAAUCUGGCGAGAUCCCGGCUCUCGUUGCUGCUCUCUCGGAGGUGGAUCUCAUCUGGGAUAAUAUAUAUGGCAGAAUUUCCAAGGAAAUGCACGGUUGCCUUGUCGGCUGAGUGUAACUUCCAGGUCGCAACCUUUGUACGAGCAGCCGAAUGAGCAGGAACGAGUACACAUCACAUUUUAUUGACUCAUGCGUGGGUGGUGUAAACAACGGAAAUGAUUUGCGUACGACGAUGCAUGUCCGAAGCACGUACGACGAUGCAUCCGCAUCGUGAGCUAGCUAACCCGUUGAAAGACAUACGGCUUGAUUUGAUGGUCGUACGUGGUUCGGAUGAGAAUCGUCGUACGUGUAGCACUGCUCAGUCUUGGGUGGUGUAAACAAAGUCUUCUUAGGGUAUGUACAAUGGUUGAUAAGAUAGUUUUAUUUCAAGUUUUACAUGUAAUUUAUAGAUGAUAAAAAAAGUCUUACAAUGAAUCACCUCUUAAUUGUUCUCUCUUAAAUAAGAAAAGACAAAUUUUUUUUAUGAGUUAUCUUUCCUCCACCUCAUCAUUUAUCUUACAUGACACUACUAAGAUAGCAUCAUUGUACAUGUCCUUAUGUGACAGGAAAAAAAAACCAACAGCCCUACCAGGAAAUAAAACAAACGUGUGAAGCACGUGUUGUGCAUGAGAGUGAUUUUGUUUUCUUAACUCAUGCCUUUUGGUUUAUUGCACUAUCUUUCUUUUAACACGCAAGCGUUUAUAUACACGUACAUAGACUGAGCCGGCAUAUCAUGAAAUUUAUGAAUAAAUUCAGAAAUAAAUGCGAACAUCAGGAUUUAAACCCUGAUGAGCUAUGAAUAUCACAAUCUCUCUAACCAUCCAACCACAGACUGGUUCGCAUUGUACUCUUCGUCGUACUAUCUUUUCAAUGUGUUACUUGUUGUCCUUAAUAAUUAUCAUAUCUAAGAUGCCCUUUGGGUGUGUUUCGUACUAUGAAAAAGGGUCCUGCAUGGAUAGAGAGAGCGUGUGCUGACGAGACAGCAUAAAAUGUUUCACCAGUUAGUUAAUAGAGUGUCACAUAAAUAAAAUACAUAGUCCGGGUAGGAAAAAUACUCCACGAUGCUUGAGUGCCCUUGACCAAAGCCUAGCGCCCUCGAUCGCCCCAUCCUUUCCUCCCUGGCUACUACCUCAGAUCACCGCCAAUCCGCAUGACUUCCAAGGACGACAGCGGCGAAGCUCCCUCCUUGAGCAACACCUUGGUACUUGUACGCCUCUUCCUACUGAGCGACGUCGUUGUGCUCUCCGUUGGUUCCUUGGUGGUUGCGUUUUUCUGUUGCCAUUUUUGUUGGCGAUGCUCCGCCCCUCCUUUGGACGGAGCAUUGCCAGUAUAUGGACUUUUUUUUAGAAUAACUGCAUAUUUUUUAACCAGCAAAUGUUACAAACAUAGCACAUACAUAACAUCGCUGAGAGAGCACGAGAGACCAAAGGUGUCCCAACACAAAUGCAAAAAGGUCUCAAAAAGGAGAAAAUACAAUCUGAACCCCCGGGGGCCUUAAUGCAUGAAGAACCAACACCAGUCGCUGACCGCCGCCAUCGACGACGAGACGAACGGCGAAGGAGGACGCCAGAAACCAUCAAACCCUGAGCCGAGGGCACACCAUCACUGAAAAGGGCUUUCUGAGUCGAAGAUGAGCCCGGUCGCAAACGGUGAGGCAUAGCCGUUGUGGCACGUCGACCGGGGAAAGUCCCCGUGCAAAUCCUCGGCUCCAGUUUCGGCACCUCCGUUGGACGAAGUCGAAGGAGAAUUACCAGAUCUACCGCCACAAACCACCACGAGAGUGUUGAGUCACCAAGUCUCUCGCCAACAGCCGCGGUCACCGCACGGGCCGGUGACCAACGCUGGCCCGAGCACUCCUAUACAAGACUCUGUCGGCUUCCCAUCGACACUGAAGAACGUGUCGAUGUGGCAGAGACGAAGCCGAGGGAACAAAACUCCCGAUGUCCCCUGCUUGACCAAAUCCGAGCACGCCAAGCCUGUCGCCGCACACGUCGGCCAGGCCAAACCUAACCUCACCGCCCAAGACGAGCGGCAGGAAUCUACGCCGAGCAGCGCCCGAGGAAACACCACCGAGACGGAGGCGGAACCGGAGGACAAAAGGCACGAGCUGGGCAGCCGUCGCCGCCUCGUCGACCCAGCCCCACCACCCAGAUAUCGCCAGCCACGCGAAACCUGCGAGCAGACCGAAGCUCCCAGCCUUCUCGCCCACCGCAACGCAUACCACCGCGUUGGGGAGAGAGCAGGGGCACCCUUAUUAGCCGCACUCGCCAUUCCCACCGGAGAUGCGAAAACGACCAGCCACCACCAAGCUACAAAGCCUACCUAGACUACACCUGUACAAGCCAUGCCCCCGGAUCCGACGACCCCAACCUGCACCGAAGAGCAUGAAGUCCCGGGGGAGAUGGCGUCGCCGGAUCCAAAGCCGGCAAAGGAGUCGCCUCUCACUAGUGGAAAACGGGCCUUUGGCCAGGACCCUUUAGUCCCGGCCUGCCUCUGGGCCGGGACUAAAGGCCCGGCCACGUCGCCCCAAUUCUCAAUGCCUCCCUCGAGGCUUUAGUCCCGGCCCGUAAGGAGCCUUUAGUCCCGGUUCAUGUUCCAAACCGGGACUAAAGGGCUACGCGGCGGGUAGUGGUGGUGGCAACCGUUCGUAUCCCCCUUUAGUCCCGGUUGGUGGCUCAACCCGGGACUAAAUCCCUAACCCGUGCCCUGCCGUAGUGGUGGUAACCGUUGGUAUACCUCUUUAGUCCCGGUUGGUGGCUCAACCCGGGACUAAAUCCCUAACACGUGGCCUGCCGUAGUGGUGGUAACCGUUGGUAUACCUCUUUAGUCCCGGUUGGUGGCUCACCCCGGGACUAAAUCCCUAACCCGUGCCCUGCCGUAGUGGUGGUAACCGUUGGUAUACCUCUUUAGUCCCGGUUGGUGGCUCAACCCGGGACUAAAGGCCCAAACGGUUUGCAUCCCGCGUCGUUUCGGGCGAUGAAAAGCACGAACCAAAGCAGAGUCGCCAUUUCUCUGUUUCUUCUUCUCUCUCGCUCUCGCUCUGUUCUUCUCCUCUCUUCUUCCAUCAUGCCAACUCGCUUUGGAGAGGUGCUCGCACAUGGCAAGACCAAGCUCGAUGUCGUGUACACGAACGAGAGCAGGGAGAUGCCGUAUUUUCUUGAACAGUUGAAGGAACGAUGGCUUGACGCCGCAAUGGAUCAUGAGAAGUUCUUGGGGCUUGAUCUGGAGUACACGGCCGAUCAACGCGGUGUUGCCGUCAUCCAACUAUGCUUCGCACACCAUGUCUUGAUCUUCCAAUGGGCGAGGUAAGUUUUGAGGCUUUCUUUGAUCCAAGGUAAUGACAUUGUAAGUUUAUUUGUUUCAAUCAUAGUUGGUUCCCUUCAAAUAGUUGUAGUGAAACAAUUUUGAUUAGUUGAAGGGGAACACAAUCUGAUUGGAAUAGUGUUCCAUAAUCUGAAAAAUCGUAUUAGAAUCAACUAGUGUUUAAUAUGUUCCAUUGGAAUCAUAGUUGGUUCGCUUCAAAUAGUUGUAGUGAAACAAUUUUGAUUAGUUGAAGGGAACACAAUCUGAUUGGAAUAGUGUUUCACAAUCUGAAAAAUCUGAUUGGUUCAAUAUGUUCCAUUGAAAUCAUAGUUGUAGUGAUACAAUUUUAUGCGGUGUUAUUUGAUCCAAGGUUAUGAAAAUUGCAUAUAGCUAGUGAUCUCUCUAGGUUCCAUUUGAUAGCAAUAUGAUAUGUCAUAGUCAUGAAAAUUGCAUAUAGCUAGUGAUCUCUCUAGGUUCCAUUGGAUAGCUAUAGUGAUCUCUCUAGGUUCCAUUGCAUAUGUUCUAUUUGAAUCCUAAAGAUAAUUUUCUCUUUAGUUGUAGUGAAACAUGUUUCCUUAUUGCAGCAGUAUGUAACAUUUUCCAUUUUAAUUUGUUUCUGUUGCAGUAGUGACAAGCAUUGUCCAGAACUCAUGGACUUCCUGCGCAGCGGCAUCACUUUUGCUACCGUUGACAUAACGAACGACAAGCUGAAGAUGAGGUACAGCUUCGGUAUUGAGAUACCAACUGGUUGCCUCAUUGAUCUCCAAACGGUAUUCAGGCUUCGACAUGUCAGGACUUCGAUGGCUCAUAUGGCAGUUGCCUUGAUCGACGAGGAAUAUGGUGAUAUGAAGACCAAUUUUCCCAAAGUCUCAGCACAAACUUUGGGAGAAGGCCCCACUUGAUCGUAUCAACAUUGAGUAUGCAACAAAAGAUGCAUACGUUUCAUACGAGUUGUACCGCAAGAUUCGAGUCGUCAACUAUGGCCAGCGUCACCUCGAAUAAGGUGGACAUUCUGAUUCGAGUCGUCAACUAUGAAAACUAAUUCCCGAACACCAAACGAGGCAUCACGUUAAUCUUCCGAACACCUAAACCCUAAAAUCCUAAAACCCAAAAAUAAUUUCAUUCAAAAAAAACCCAAAAAUAAGCAAAAUCUAAAACUCUUUAGUCCCGGUCCGUGUAACGAGCCGGGACUAAAGGGCCUGCCCCUGAGGCGCUACGAGGCGCCCACGUGGAGCAUCUUUAGUCCCGGCUUGUAACAGGGCCGGGACUAAAGGUUAGGCGUCCCGGUUGGUGAACCGGGACUAAAGUCCCUUACGGGCCGGGGCUAAAGGCCCCGUCUCCACUAGUGUCUGGCAGUAUAUGGACUUGUGGUAACCUUUGUUAGGACUUAGGUGCUCCAUCCCUGUUCCUCACCUCUCACCUGAUUUGGACGCCCACCGGUUUGGUCUGGCCUAGUAUCUUUUUCCAGUCAUUUCUCGGUUAGAUGCGGAAGAUUUGCCGCAUGAUCUAGCGAUUGCAUCUGACGUUUUUCUUGACUGGUGAUUAAAGUUGGUCGUUAAGGUCUUGUUGAACGUACGUGUGGACCAAAAUAUGUUUUUAUCUUUGUGACAAGUACAAUGACCGCUGUUGUAUUUAUCUCUCAUCUCAACCCUCAACUAAAUUCUAUGUGAAUUCCUAGUAUCUCUUGCAAUCCCUGGUAUCCAUCAAUUGGUUCUGUCGCGCUCCUAAGUUCUCCUUCCCUCUCCGAUCAUAUAUCUCUUUAGUCGAAUCAUGGCAAGGUCAUGUCAAGACCCAAAUGUUUUUUCAAAAAGAUAGUAUAAACACACACACUCACAUCCAUGAACGCACAUACGCACGUUCUAUUCCUAUAAGCACAUUUGAAAGGCUGAGCCGGCGGAUGUUAAGAUUGACAAAGUCACAACAAACGUCACAUCACUCUAUGGACAGAAACAUUGCCUCCCAUUGAGAGUACAUUUCGCGUUUAUCACACACCAAAGCAUCAACAUUUAAUUCCUUGUGUUAGGAAUUAAUUAAAUGUAUUAAUUAAUGGAAUAAUCCAUGCGUUGCCGGUUGCCUUGAUUUAGCAACCGUUCCUUGUAACCGACUCUGUACUCGGGGUAUAAAUACCCCGCAUCUUCAAUCAAUAAUAAUUGUUCCAUCAUUCUGUCACUUUCACUGUUUUACACGUUAUCAGCACUCGCUCUGCCGAGAGCGACAGAGAGCCACGAGAAAGGUCAGAAUGGCAGGAAGAGAGUUGUCUGCACUUGCUUUUGCUUUCGCACGCUUCCUGCAGAAAGAGAACACCCGCUUCCCUCGCACUCAGCGCCACCGCAUUGCACGUCGCCAUCAGGGUCUUGGUGCAAGGAAUGGCCCUCAUCGCCGUUCCUUCACCAGGAACCACCGCCAGAACCGGAGUGGCCCUCAUCGCCGCUUCUUCGCCGGGAACCACCGCCAGAACCACCGCCGUGGGUAUGCACGUCGAGGCAACCAACCACUUCGUGGGCGUGCACCAACGGUGCACCAGGCUGGAUCCUCGACUCCGGCCACCGCUCCACUACAACAGGCUGGUGUUGUAGAUAUGCCCUAGAGGCAAUAAUAAAUUAGUUAUUAUUAUAUUUCUUAGNNNNNNNNNNNNNNNNNNNNNNNNNNNNNNNNNNNNNNNNNNNNNNNNNNNNNNNNNNNNNNNNNNNNNNNNNNNNNNNNNNNNNNNNNNNNNNNNNNNNUGGAUAAUAAACUAUUAUCUUGAUACAGGAAUUAUAAUAAUAACUAUGCAUUUAUUAUUGCCUCUAGGGCAUAAUUCCAACAGUGCCUUCUAGUUGCACUGUCUGUACCCAGACAGUUUAUAACUCUUCCGCUGGCUUGUAUUUGUAUGACUGCUAUUAUGGGUCGAGAGACCUUAAUGUGUAAUAUUAUGUGUGUGGCUCUUNNNNNNNNNNNNNNNNNNNNNNNNNNNNNCUUCCGAGCCUCUUAAAUAAAGCUUGUAUGUUUAUGGUUAUGUUGUGAUGCCAUCGAUGUAUCUAUACAUAUCGGUAUGCCAUGCGUACGUGUGUCUUACUUGGUAUGUAUGGGGUUCGAAUACCUAGUCGUGAACUUUAGUAGCACUCCUUACAAGGAAAUGCCCCUUUGUGAUCCAACGAGCCUUGGUAGUUCGCUACUGCUCCGGACACAUUGGUUGACCGGCAUGUGUCCUUCUUAGCUGCUGUGUCUGUCCCCUUUGGGGAAAUUUCACGCGAUGUAAUGGAGUCCUUGUAGCUUGCUACGACUCGUCUACAUUCGCCGAUGACCGACACCUGCUUUGUUGGGUCAUGUAUGCCUGUCCUUGUGCGGUACUGCCACUUUGGUUUAUGACUAGACAUGUCGAUCCGGGUUCUUUGACAUUGGAUUGCUAGCGACACUAUCGCAUACGUGAGUCAAAAGACGCAAACGGUCCCGGCUAAGGUAAGGCUGCAGCCGUGGAGUUAACCGUGCGUGAGACCACAAAGGGAUGCGAUGUGUUACAGGCUAGAUUCCUAUGGCUUAGGAUCGAGGUCCCGACACUUUAAAAUAUCCAUUUGUACUUAACGGUCUUACGACCAUCAAGUAGUUCUUCCAAAGUCUACACUUUGUUUUCAUACAUGGAUCCUCUCUCGGAUUUCAUGGCCUCCAGCCAUUUAUCGGAAUUCGAGCCCACCAUCGCUUCUCCAUAGCUCGUAGGUUCAUUGUUGUUCAACAACAUGACCUCCAAGACAGGGUCACCGUACCACUCUGUAGCAGUACGCGACCUUGUCGACCUACGAGGUUUGUAGUAGCUUGAUCAGAAGCUUAAUGAUCACAAUCAUUAGUUUCCACUUCAAUUUGCGUAGGCGCCACAUGAACAAAUUCCUGCGCCCUGCUACACACUAGUUGAAGUGAUGGUUCAAUAACCUCAUCAAGUUCCACCAUCCUCCCACUCAGUUCUUUCGAGAGAAACUUUUCCUCGAGAAAGGACCCGUUUCUAGAAACAAACACUUUGCUUCCGGAUCUGAGAUAGGAGGUAUACCCAACUAUUUUGGGUGUCCUAUGAAGAUGCGUUUAUCCGCUCUGGGUUCGAGCUUAUCAUGCUGAAACUUUUCCACAUGAGCAUCGCAGCCCCAAACUUUUAAGAAACGACAGCUUAGGUUUCUCCAAACCAUAGUUCAUACGGUGUCAUCUCAACGGAAUUACGUGGUACCCUAUUUAAAGUGAAUGUGGUUGUCUCUAAUGCCUAACCCAAAACGAUAGUGGUAUUUCGAUAAGAGACAUCAUAGUAUGCACCAUAUCAAAUAGGGCGCGGCUAUGACAUUCAGACAAACCAUCACACUAUGGUGUUCUAGGUGGCAUGAACUGCAAAACAAUUUCCACAUUGUCUUAACCGUGUACCAAAACUCGCAGCUCAGAUAUUCAUCUCUAUGAUCAUAUCGUAGACAGUUUAUCCUCUUGUCACGAUGAUCUUCACUCUGGAAUAGCUUUGAACUUUUCAAUAUUUCAGACUUGUGAUUCAUCAAGUAAAUACUCAUGUAUCUACUCAAAUCAUCAGUGAAGUGAGAACAUAACGAUAUCCACUGCGUGCCUUAGCACUCAUUGGACUGCACAUAUCAAAAAUCUAUUGCAUCCAACAAGUUACUUUCUUGUUCCAUGUGGUAUGAUUUUGCAUGUCUCAAGUGAGUUAAAAUCAAGUGAUUCCAAACGAUCCAUCUGCAUGGAGUUUCUUCAUGCGUUUAUACCAACAGGUAUGGUUUCCAUGUCUCAAACGUUUCAAAAAUGAGUGAGUACAAAGAUCCAUAAGCAUGGAGUUUCUUCAUGCAUUUUACACCAACAUGACUCAAGCGGCAGUGCCACAAGUAAGUGGUUCUAUCAUUAUUACUUUGUAUCUUUUGGCACCACUAUUAUGAAUAUGUGUAACACUACGAUCGAGAUUCAAUAAAUCAUUGAAGGUAAUUAUUCAAGAAAAUAGAAUAACCAUUAUUCUCUUUAAAUGAAUAAUCGUAUUGCAAUAAACACGAUCCAAUCAUGUUCAUGCUCAAAGCAAACACCAAAUAACAAUUAUUUAGGUUUAACACCAAUCCCGAUGGUAGAGGGAGCGUGCGAUGUUUUGAUCACAUCAACCUUGGAAACACUUUCAACACGUAUCGUCACCUCGCCUUUAGCUAGUCUCCGUUUAUUUCGUAGCUUUUAUUUCGAGUUACCAAUCACUUAGCAACCGAACCGGUAUCUAAUACCCUCGUGCUACUAGGAGUACUAGUAAAGUACACAUCAAUAUCAUGUAUAUCAAAUAUACUUCUGUUGACUUCGCCAGCCUACUCAUCUACCAAGUAUAUAGGGUAGCUCCGCCUCAGUGACCGUUCACCUCAUAACAAAAGCACUUAAUCUCGGGUUUGGGUUCAAUCUUGGGUUUCUUCAUUAGAGCAGCAACUGGUUUGUCGUUUCAUGAAGUAUCUCUUCUAGCCCUUGCCCUUCUUGAAACUAGUGGUUUUACUAACCAUCAACAAUUGAUGCUCCUUCUUGAUUUCUACUUUCGUAGUGUCAAACAUUGUGAAUCGCUCAAGGAUCAUCAUAUAUAUCCUUGAUAUGUUAUAGUUCAUCACGAAGCUCUAGCAGCUUGGUGGCAGUGACUUUGGAGAACCAUCACUAUCUCAUCUGGAAGAUUAACUCCCACUUGAUUCAAGCGAUUGUUAUACUGAGCACAUGCUCAACGAUUGAGCUUUUCUCCUUUACUUUGUAGACAAAGAAUCUUGUUGGAGGUCUCAUACCUUUCAACAAGGGCACGAGCAUGAAAUCUCAAUUUCAUAUCUUAGAACAUCUUUUAUGUUCCGUGACGUUUCAAAAUGUCUUCGGCGUCUUGCAUCUAAGCCAUUAAGUAUUACGCACUGAACUAUCACGUAGUCAUGAAAAAUGUGUAUGUCAGAUGUUCGCAACAUCCACAGACGACGCUUGAGGUGCAGCACACCGAGUGGUGCAUUAAGGACAUAAGCCUUCUACGCAGCAAUGAGGACAAUCCUCAGUUUUACGUACUCAGUCCGCAAAGUUACUACUAUCAUCUUUCAACUAAAUUUUCUCUAGGAACAUAUAAAAAAACAGUAGAGCUAUAGCGCAAGCUACAUCAUAAUUCGCAAAGACCUUUUGACCAUGCUCAUGAUAAUUAGUUCAAUUAAUCAUAUUACUUAAGAACUCCCACUCAAAAAAUACAUCCCUCUAGUCAUUUCAGUGGUGCAUGAUCCAAAUCCACUAACCCAAGUCCGAUCAUCACGUGAGUUGCGUAUAGUUUCAGUGGUAAACAUCUCUAUGCUAAUCAUAUCAACUAUAUGAUUCAUGCUCGACCUUUCGGUCUCUUGUGUUCCGAGGCCAUGUCUGCACAUGCUAAGCUCGUCAAGUUUAACCCGAGUGUUCCGCGUGUGCAACUGUUUUGCACCCGUUGUAUGCGAACGUUGAGUCUAUCACACCCGAUCAUCACGUGGUGUCUCGAAACGACGAACUGUCGCAACGGUGCAUAGUCGGGGAGAACACAAUUUUAUCUUGAAAUUUUAGUGAAGGAUCACGUUAUAAUGCUACCAUCGUUCUAAGAAAGAUAAGGUGCAUAAAAGGAUUAACAGCACAUGCAAUUCAUAAGUGACAUGAUAUGGCCAUGAUCUUGUGCUUCUUGAUCUCCAUCACCAAAGCACCGACAUGAUCUUCAUCGUCACCGGCACCACACCAUGAUCUCCACCAUCGUGCCGCCAUCGAGGUUGUCGUGCUAUAUACGCUAUCACUACUAAAGCUACAACCUAGCGAUAUAGUAAACGCAUAUGCAAACACAAACGUUAGUUUAAAGACAACCUUAUGGAUCCUGCCAGUUGCCGUAGCAUCGACGUGCAAGUCGAUAUUUAACUAUUACAAAAUGAUCAUCUCAUACAUCCAAUAUAUCACAUCAUGUCUUUGGCCAUAUCACAUCACAUGCAUACCCUGCAAAAACAAGUUAGACAUCCUCUAAUUUGUUGUUGCAUGUUUUACGUGGCUCCUAUGGGUAUCUAGUAUGAUCGCAUCUUACUUACGCAUAGCCACAACGGUAAUAUGCAAAUUGCUAUUUAACCUUUCUCCAAGGACCGCCUCGGUCAAAUCCGAUUCAACUAAAGUUGAAGAAACAGACACCCGCCAGUCAUCUUUAUGCAACAAGUUGCAUGUUAGUCGAUGAAACCGGUCUCUUGUAAGCGUACGAUUAAGGUUGGUUUGGGCCGCUUCAAUCCAACAAUACCGCCGAAUCGAGAAAAUACUAAGGAGGGCAGCAAAUUGAACAUCAAUGCCCACAAAAACUUGUUUGUUCUACUCGAGAUUACAUCUACGCAUGAACCUAGCUCAUGAUGCCACUAUUGGGGAACGUUUCAUGGGAAACUAAAAAAUUCCUACACACACGAAGACCUAUCAUGGUGAUGAUCAUCUACGAGAGGGAGAUCGGGUCCACAUACCCUUGUAGAUCGCUAAGUGGAAAUGUUAAGAAACGUGUAUGAUGUAGUGGUAUGUCUUCACGAUCCGUCCCACGAACCGUCUCACGAUCCGUCCCGAUCAAGUGUUGAACGGACGGCACCUCCGCGUUCCGCACACGUACAGCUCGAUGACGAUCUCCGCCUUCUUGAUCCAGCAAGAGGGGCGGAGAGGUAGAUGAGUUCUCCAGCAUGGCGAUGUGGUGGUGGUGUUGGUGGUGCUAUUCCAGCAGGGCUUCGCCUAAGCACCGCUGAAACUAGAGGAGAAACAGAUCUAGAGAGAGAGGGCAGCACGUGGCUGUUUCUGUUGUCCAAAAACCCUCAAAACCCUUAGUAUAUAUAGGAGGAGAGGAGGGAGAGGGUUGCGCCCUAGAGCAACCUUCUCUUCCCUUGCGCAAGGGAGAGGAGGAGGAGUCCUACUCCAAUCCUAUUUGGAGUAGGAUUCCUCCUUCCCACUUGGAAACUCUUUCCACCUUGUGUUUUUCCUUCUCAAACCUUAUGGGUCUUAGUGGGAACUUAUUCGAGCCCACUAGGGGAUGGUUUAUCUCUUGCCACAGCCCAUAAGGCCUCUUGGGGCGUGACACCCCUCCCGAUGGUCCCCGGCACACCUCCCGGCACUCCCGGUACACUACCGAUGAGCCCGAAACUUUUCCCGUGACCAAAACAGGACUCCCUAUAUAUCAAUCUUCAUUUCCGGACCAUUCUGGAAACCUUCGUGAUGUACGGGAUCUCAUCCGGCACUCUGAACAACCUUCGGUCACCAACACAUAUAACUUAACUAUACCGAAACAUCACCGAACUUUAAGUGUGUAGACCCUGCGGGUUCGAGAACUAUGUAGACAUGACCUGAGACACUCUUCGGUCAAUAACCAACGGCGGGACCUCGAUGUUCAUAUUGGCUCCUACAUAUUCUACGAAUAUCUCUAUCGGUUGAACCUCUAUGUCAAGGAUUAAUAUAAUCCCGUAUACUAUUCCCUUUGUCCUUCGGUAUGUUACUUGCCCGAGAUUCGAUCGUUGGUAUCUCCAUACCGAGUUCAAUCUCGUUACCGGCAAGUCUCUUUACUCGUUCCAUAAUACAAGAUCUCGUGACUAACUCCUUAGUCAUAUUGCUUGCAAGGCUUGUUGUGAUGUUGUAUUACCGAGUGGGCCCCCUAGAUACCACUCCGUCACAUGGAGUGACAAAUCACAGUCUUGAUCCAUGCCAACCUAAUAGACACCUUUGGAGAUACGUGUAGAGCACCUUUAUGGUCACCCAGUUAUGUUGUGACGUUUGAUACACACAAGGCAUUCCUCCGGUGUCCGGGAGUUGUGAUACGUCCAUUUUGCAUCAUGUUUUCAUGUUGAUAUUUAUUGCUUCUUGGGAUGUUAUAUUACUUGUGGUGCCAUAUUUAUGCCUUUUCGCUCUUAUUUUGCAAGGAUUAUUUGAAGAGGGAGAAUUCAGGCAGCUGGAAUUCUGGACUAGAAAAGGAGCAAAUCCUAGUCCACUAUUCUGCACAUCUCCAAAUGCCCUGAAAAUUUUCGUGGAUUUUUUCUAGAAUAUAUUAAAAAUACUGGGCGAAAGAACUACCAGAGGGGGCCACCAGGGCCCCACAAGCUUGCCCACCGCCGCCGCCCCCCUGGUGGCGCACGGCAGGCUUGUGGGCAGCCCACUGGCCCACUAGCCCCCCUCUUUUGCUAUAUGAUGCGUCCUGACCUGGAGAAAAUCAUACAGGAGCUUUUUCGUGGUUUCCCCGCCGCCACAGGGCGGAACUUGAGUAGAUCCAAUCUAGAGCUCCGGCAGGACGAUCUUGUCGGGGAAAUUUCCCUCCCGGAGGGGGGAAUCAUCACCAUCUUCAUCACCAACACUCCUCUCAGCGGAGGGGAGGCAUCUUCAUCAACAUCUUCAUCGGCACCAUCUCUUCUCCAAUCCCUAGUUCAUCUCUUGUAACCAAUCUUCGUCUCGCAACUCAGAUUAGUACUUGUAAGGUUGCUAGUAGUGUUGAUUACUCUUUGUAGUUGAUGCUUGUUGGAUUACUUGGUGGAAGAGUUUAUGUUCAGAUCCUUGAUGCUAUUCAUUACACCUCUGGUCAUGAUUAUGAUUAUAUCUUGUGAGUAGUUACUUUUGUUCCUAAGGACAUGGAAUAAGUCAUGCUGAUAAUAGUCAUGUGAAUUUGAUAUUCGUUCAGUAUUUUGAUAUGAUGUAUGUUGUUUUUCCUCUAGUGGUGUUAUGUGAACGUGGACUACAUAACACUUCACCAUAUUUGAGCCUAGAGGAAGGCAUUGUGAAGUAGUAAGUAGAUGAUGGGUUGCUGGAGUGACAGAAGCUUAAACCCCAGUUUAUGCGUUGCUUCGUGAGGGGAUGAUUUGGAUCCACUAGUUUAAUGCUAUGGUUAGACUUUGUCUUAAUUCUUCUUUUGUAGUUGCGGAUGCUUGCUAGAGAGGUUAAUCAUAAGUGGGAUGCUUGUCCAAGUAAGGUCAGUACCCAAGCGCCGGUCCACCCACAUAUCAAACUAUCAAAGUAACGAACGCGAAUCAUAUGAACAUGAUGAAACUAGCAUGACAGAAAUUCUCAUGUGUCCUCGGGAGCAUUUUUCCUCCUAUAUGACUUUGUUCAGGCUUGUCCCUUGCUACAAAAGGGAUUGGGCCACUUGCUGCACCGUUGCUACUACUUGUUAUUUGUUACUCUUUGCUUGCUACGUUUCACCUCGCUACACAAUCACUUGUUACCGCUACUUUCAGUGCUUGCAGUUAUUACCUUGCUGAAAUUCGUUUAUCACAGCCUUCUGCUCCUCGUUGGGUUCGACAAUCUUACUUAUAGAAAGGACUAUGAUUGAUCCCCUAUACUUGUGUUGGAAAUAUGCCCUAGAGGCAAUAAUAAAUUAGUUAUUAUUAUAUUUCUUUGUUCAUGAUAAUCGUUUCUUAUCCAUGCUAUAAUUGUAUUGAUUGGAAACACAGUGCAUGUGUGGAUACACAGACAAAACACAGUCCCUAGUAAGCCUCUAGUUGACUAGCUCGUUGAUCAAAGAUGGUCAAGGUUUCCUGACCAUAGGCAAGUGUUGUCACUUGAUAACGGGAUCACAUCAUUAGGAGAAUCAUGUGAUGGACUAGACCCAAACUAAUAAGACGUAGGAUGUUGAUCGUGUCAUUUUGUUGCUAUUGUUUUCUGCGUCUCAAGUAUUUGUUCCUAUGACCAUGAGAUCAUAUAACUCACUGACACCGGAGGAAUGCUUUGUGUGUAUCAAACGUUGCAACGUAACUGGGUGACUAUAAAGAUGCUCUAUAGGUAUCUCCGAAGGUGUUCGUUGAGAUAGUAUGGAUCGAGACUGGGAUUUGUCACUCCGUGUGACGGAGAGGUAUCUCGGGGCCCACUCGGUAAUACAACAUCACNNNNNNNNNNNNNNNNNNNNNNNNNNNNNNNNNNNNNNNNNNNNNNNNNNNNNNNNNNNNNNNNNNNNNNNNNNNNNNNNNNNNNNNNNNNNNNNNNNNNNNNNNNNNNNNNNNNGGUAAACGAGAUUGAAAUAGGUAUGCGGAUACUGACGAUCGAAUCUCGGGCAAGUAACAUACCGAAGUACAAAGGGAAUGACAUACGGGAUUAUAUGAAUCCUUGGCACCGAGGUUCAAACGAUAAGAUCUUCGUAGAAUAUGUAGGAUCCAAUAUGGGCAUCCAAGUCCCGCUAUUGGAUAUUGACCGAGGAGUCACUCGGGUCAUGUCUACAUAGUUCUCGAACCCGCAGGGUCUGUACACUUAAGGUUCGACGUUGUUUUAUGCGUAUUUGAGUUAUAUGGUUGGUUACCGAAUGUUGUUCGGAGUCCCGGAUGAGAUCACGGACAUCACGAGGGUUUCCGGAAUGGUCCGGAAACAAAGAUUGAUAUAUAGGAUGACCUCAUUUGAUUACCGGAAGGUUUUCGGAGUUACCGGGAAUAUACCGGGAAUGACGAAUGGGUUCCUCGGAAUGUACCAGGAAUGACGAAUGGGUUCCGGGUGUUCACCGGGGGGGCAACCCACCCCGGGGAAGCCCAUAGGCCUUGGGGGUGGCGCACCAGCCCUUAGUGGGCUGGUGGGACAGCCCAAUAAGGCCCUAUGCGCCAUAGGAAGAAAAUCAAAGAGAAAAAGGAAAAAAGAAAAGGGGAGGUGAGAAAAAGGGGAAGGACUCCACCUUCCAAACCUAGUUGGAUUCGGUUUGGAAGGGGAGGACUCCCCCCCUUGGCUCGACCGACCCCCAAGGCAAGGCCCCCCUCUCCCACCUAUAUAUACGGAGGUUUUAGGGUUGAUUUGAGACAACUUUGCCACGGCAGCCCGACCACAUACCACCAUGGUUUUACCUCUAGAUCGCGUUUCUGCGGAGCUCGGGUGGAGCCCUGCUGAGAUUAGAUCACCACCAAACUCCGGAGCGCCGUCAUGCUGCCCGAGAACUCAUCUACCUCUCCGUCUCUCUUGCUGGAUCAAGAAGGCCGAGAUCAUCGUCGAGCUGUACGUGUGCUGAACGCGGAGGUGCCGUCCGUUCGGCACUAGAUCGUGGGACGGAUCGCGGGACGGUUUGCGGGGCGGAUCGAGGGACGUGAGGACGUUCCACUACAUCAACCGCGUUUCUUAACGCUUCUGCUGUGCGAUCUACAAGGGUACAUAGAUCAAAUAUCCCCUCUCGUAGAUGGACAUCACCAUGAUAGGUCUUCGUGCGCGUAGGAAAAUUUUUGUUUCCCAUGCGACGUUCCCCAACAACUUGUGGGUCAUCAAGACUCUUUUCUGGCGCCGUUGCCGGGGAGUGAAGCGCCUUUGGUAAGUGGAAAUUGGUAAGGAAACAAUUUUAUACUGUGCUGAAAUUUAUUGUCACUUGUCACUAUGGAAACUCUUCCUUUGAGGAGUUUGUUCGGGGUAUCUUCACCAUGAACGGAAGCACGAGGAUUUGCUCCUCAACCUGAGGUACCUACUGAAAAUAUCUUUUAUAAAAUUCCUUUGGGUAUGCUUGAGAAAUUGCUGGCUAAUCCUUUUACAGGAGAUGGAUCUUCACAUCCAGACUUUCAUCUAAUCUAUGUAGAUGAAGUUUGUGGUUUAUUUAAGCUUGCAGGUUUGCCCGAGGAUGAGGUAAAGAAGAAACUCUUUCCUUUAUCUUUGAAGGAUAAGGCAUUGACAUGGUAUAGGCUAUGUGAUGAUACUGGAUCAUGCAGCUACAAUCGGUUGAAAUUGGAAUUUCAUCAAAAGUUCUAUCCCAUGCAUUUAGUAUAUCAUGAUCGGAACUUUAUUUAUAACUUUUGGCCUCGUGAUAGGGAAAGCAUAGCUCAAGCUUGGGGGAGGCUUAAAUCAAUGCUAUAUUCAUGCCCCAAUCAUGAGCUCUCGAGAGAAAUCAACACUCAAAACAUUUAUGCUCGGAUUUCUCAUGAAGAUCGUACCAUGCUUGAUACUUCUUGUGCCGGUUCUUUUAUGAAGAAGAAUAUUGAUCACAAGUGGAAUUUAUUGGAGAGAAUCAAACGCAACUCUGGAGAUUGGGAGCUGGAGGAAGGUAAGGACUCAGGUAUGAAUUUCUAUUUUGAUUGCGUUAAAUCUUUUGUUGAGACAAACACUUCUAGAGAGCGCUAAGUAUGGACUUGACUCUGAGAUAGUAGCUUCUCUUUGUAAAUCUUUUGCUGCUCAUGUUGAUCUUCCCAAAGAGAAGUGGUUUAAAUAUCAUCCUCCUGUAGAAAGCAACAUAGCCAAAACCAAUCUAGUUGAGGAGAAAAUCAUAGCUUUUAGUGAUCCUGUUGUUCCUUGUGCUUACACUGAGAAACCACCAUACCCUGCUAGGAUGAAGGAUUAUUCUAAAGCUCCAACUGUGAUACGUAGGGGUUACAUUAGACCACUUGCACCCCCUGAAGAGAUUAGAGUUGAACCUAGUGUUGCUAUUAUCAAAGAUCUCUUAGCCAAAGAGAUAGAUGGGCAUGUUAUCAAAUUCUGUGAGGACUCCGCUAGAAUUGCUAAACCUCACGCGAAAGACAAGCACGGACCUGUAGUUGGCCUGCCCGUUGUUUCUGUUAAGAUAGGAGAUCACUGUUACCAUGGUUUAUGUGAUAUGGGAGCUAGUGUUAGUGCAAUACCCCGUUCUCUAUAUGAUGAAAUCAAAGAUGAGAUUGCACCAGCUGAGAUAGAACCCAUUGAUGUCACUAUCACGCUAGCUAAUAGAGACACUAUAUGCCCUUUGGGAAUUGUGAGAGAUGUAGAAGUCCUGUGUGGUAAGACGAAGUAUCCUACUGAUUUCCUCGUCCUUGGUACUACACAAGAUAGCUUUUGUCCCAUCAUAUUCGGUAGACCCUUUCUCAACACUAUCAAUGCUCACAUUGAUUGCAUUAAGCAGACUGUCAUAGUAAGUUUCGAGGGUGUGUCUCAUGAAUUUAACUUCUCCAAGUUUGGAAGACAACCCCAUGAAAGAGAUUCAUCUGGUAGGGAUGAAAUCAUUGCUCUUUCCUCUAUUGCCAUACCUCCUACGAAUCCUUUAGAGCAAUAUCUGCUUGAGCAUGAAAAUGAUAUGCAUACGGAGGAGAGAGAUGAGAUAGAUAGAAUUGUCUUAGAACAAUGUCCUAUUCUCAAGAAUAAUCUGCAUGUUGAACUGCUUGGGGAUCCUCCCCCACCAAAGGGUGAUCCUGUGUUCGAGCUUAAACAGUUGCCUGAUACUCUUAAGUAUGCCUAUCUUGAUGAGAAGGAGAUAUAUCCUGUCAUUAUUAGUGCUCUCCUCUCAGAGCGUGAAGAGAAGAAGUUACUAAAAACUCUGAGGAAGCACCGCGCUGCUAUUGGAUAUACUCUUGAUGAUCUUAAGGGUAUUAGUCCUACUCUAUGUCAGCACAAGAUUAAAACCGAUCCUGACUUUAAACCAGUUGCUGAUCAUCAAAGGAGAUUAAAUCCUAAGAUGAAAGAGGUCGUUAGAAAAGAAAUAUUAAAGCUUCUGGAAGCAGGAAUCAUUUAUCCUAUUGCUCAUAGUGAUUGGGUAAGUCCAGUACAUUGCGUACCUAAGAAGGGAGGUAUCACCGUCGUUCCUAAUGAUAAGGAUGAACUAAUCCCACAAAGGAUUAUUACCGGCUAUAGAAUGGUGAUAGACUUCCGGAAACUGAACAAGGCAACCAGGAAAGAUCAUUAUCCUUUGCCGUUCAUCGACCAAAUGCUAGAAAGGCUAUCAAAGCACACACACUUUUGCUUUCUAGACGGUUAUUCAGGUUUCUCGCAAAUACCUGUUGCAUAAUUUGAUCAAGAGAAAACCACCUUCACCUGCCCUUUCGAUACCUUUGCCUAUAGAUGUAUGCCUUUUGGCUUAUGUAAUGCACCUGCCACCUUUCAAAGAUGUAUGAUGGCUAUAUUCUCUGACUUUUGUGAAAAGAUUGUCGAGGUUUUCAUGGAUGACUUCUCCAUUUACGGGUCUUCCUUUGAUGAUUGCCUCAGCAACCUUGAUCGAAUCUUACAGAGAUGCGAAUAAACCAACCUCGUCUUGAAUUGGGAGAAGUGCCACUUUAUGGUUAAUGAAGGUAUCGUCUUAGGACACAAAAUCUCUGAAAGAGGCAUUGAAGUUGAUAAGGCUAAGGUUGAUGCAAUUGAGAAAAUGCCUUGCCCCACAGAUAUCAGAGGUAUACGAAGUUUCCUAGGUCAUGCUGAUUUCUAUAGAAGGUUCAUUAAAGACUUCUCUAAGAUUUCUAGGCCUCUUACCAACCUCUUGCAGAAGGAUGUUCCUUUUGUUUUUGAUGAGGAUUGUGAGGAAGCCUUCGAAAUACUUAAGAAGGCUUUGAUAACCGCACCUAUUGUUCAACCACCUGACUGGAACUUUCCCUUUGAAAUCAUGUGUGACGCUAGUGAUUAUGCUGUUGGUGUUGUUCUAGGACAAAGAGUUGACAAGAAGUUGAAUGUCAUUCACUACGCUAGUAAAACUCUAGACAGUGCCCAAAGGAACUAUGCCACUACGGAGAAGGAAUUUUUAGCACUCGUGUUUGCAUGUGAAAAAAUCAGAUCUAACAUAGUUGACUCCAAGGUCACUAUUCACUCUGAUCAUGCUCCUAUUAAGUACCUUAUGGAGAAGAAGGACGCUAAGCCUAGGCUUAUCAGAUGGGUUCUCCUGCUACAGGAAUUUGAUUUGCACGUCAUUGACCGAAAGGGUGCUGAUAACCCUGUAGCAGAUAACUUGUCUAGGCUAGAGAAUGUCCUUGAUGACCCACUACCAAUUGAUGACAGCUUUCCUGAUGACCAAUUAAAUGUCAUCCGCACUUCACUUAGUGCACCAUGGUAUGCCGAUUAUGCAAACUAUAUCGUAGCCAAAUACAUACCACCCAGUUUCACCUAUCAACAAAAGAAGAAAUUCUUCUUUGAUUUGAGACACUACUUUUGGGAUGAUCCUCACCUUUAUAAGGAAGGAGUAGAUGGUGUUAUUAGACGUUGUGUGCCUGAACAUGAACAGGGACAGAUCCUGCAGAAGUGUCAUUCCGAAGCCUACGGAGGACACCACGCUGGAGAUAGAACUGCCCAUGAGGUAUUGCAAUCAGGUUUCUAUUGGCCCACUCUCUUCAAGGAUGCUCGUAAGUUUGUCUUGUCUUGUGACAAAUGCCCAAGGAUAGGGAACAUCAGUAAGCGUCACAAGAUGCCUAUGAACUAUUCACUUGUCAUUGAACCAUUUGAUGUCUGGGGCUUUGAUUAUAUGGGACCCUUCCCGAGUUCCAGUGGGUACACUCACAUCUUAGUUGUUGUGGAUUACGUUACUAAGUGGGUAGAAGCUAUCCCCACUAAAAAUGCUGAUCACCACAACUCUAUUAAGAUGCUUAAAGAAGUUAUAUUCCCAAGAUUUGGAGUCCCUAGAUACUUGAUGACUGAUGGCGGUUCACACUUCAUUCAUGGUGUUUUCCGCAAGAUGCUAGCUAAGUAUGAUGUCAACCAUAGAGUUGCAUCUCCUUAUCAUCCUCAGUCUAGUGGUCAAUUGGAGUUGAGUAAUAGGGAGAUCAAGUUGAUCUUACAAAAGACCGUCAAUAGAUCCCGAAAGAACUGGUCUAGCAAACUUGACGAUGCACUAUGGGCUUAUAGGACUGCUUAUAAAAAUCCCAUGGGCAUGUCACCGUAUAAAAUGGUUUACGGUAAGGCCUGUCAUUUACCUCUUGAGUUGGAACACAAAGCUUAUUGGGCAAUCAAAGAGCUCAACUUUGAUUUCAAACUUGCCAGUGAGAAGCGGUUGUUUGAUAUCAGCUUGUUGGAUGAAUGGAGAGCCCAGGCAUAUGAGAAUACCACGUCGUCAAGGAAAAGGUUAAGAGAUGGCACGACAAACGAAUACAGAAACGAGAGUUCAAUGUAGGUGAUUAUGUCUUGCUAUACAAUUCUCGUUUGAGAUUCUUUGGAGGCAAGCUUCUCUCUAAAUGGGAAGGUCCCUACGUUGUCGAGGAAGUAUAUCGUUCCGGUGCCAUCAAAAUCAAUAAUACAAGGAAAUUUUCCUAGAGUGGUAAAUGGGCAAAGAAUCAAGCAUUACAUCUCUGGUACUCCCAUAAAUGUUGAGACCAAUAUCAUCAAUGUCAUAACUCCACAGGAGUACAUAAGGGAUGUUUAUCAGCCUGUUUCAGACCUUGAAAACGAAGAUGUAUCUGUUUCGGCAAGAAAUUGGACUCCGAUACUUUUCCAAUAGGAAAUUUCCUCAGUUUUGGAAUUUUUGGAAAAUUAGAAAAAUAAAAAAGCAGUCCGGAGAGCAAACGAGGAAGCCACAAGGGCCCACUCCGCCACCACCCCCUGGUGGCGGUGGGCAAGCUUGUGGGCACCUUGUGUGCCUCCCGGACUCCGUUUUCUUGCAGAGGACUCCUUCUGGCCCAGAAAAAAUCAAUAUAUAGUUGCCCGAAGGUUUUGAUCUUCAUAUCGCGUAGUUUUCCUCUGUUUUCGUUUCGAGCUUGUUUCUGCCGCAGAUCUAGAUCAUCAUGACUUCCCCAAACGCUCCUAAGGACAAGAUCUUGGAGAAGGUCAUCAAUCCCUACCUCACGGAAGUGCUAAAACACCAUCAAUCUAUCAAGAUGAGCGAGGGGAUGUUGCACAUCCGUGAUGUUGAGGGGCCUAAGAAGACCGGAAGCAUGGAGACGAGGCUCGAAGUAGUGGAGCAACAAGUCUUCAUGUGCCAAGGGAUGGUUGAGCGUGGACUCAACGCCAACCACACGAUGAUCACGGAGUUCACUAGCAAUCACAAGAUGGAUGUCAUUGAUAUCGGGAAACACCUCUCCAGACUUUACGAUAGGGUUGACCAACUUCAGGGCCAAAUCUAUGACCUGCAGAAUCAAAACUGUGAGUAUGGGUAUAGAUUUAAAUCAAUAAGGUUGGCUGCAGAUUUGAGGAUUUCGGCUACUCGUUCAUCCUGCCAUGAUGGAGCACCUAUGCCUUGGAAGACGGAGGAUCAGACUACUCCAACAACACCACCAUCAUCACCAAAGGAAGACAACUAAGCAUUGGUAUGGGCAAUCCCCUUGGCUUCUGCCGAGCUUGGGGGAGUUGCCCUGGUAUCAUAUCACCUUUAUAUCUUUUGCUUUUACCUUUGUUUUAGUUCUUUCCCUUUCAGUUUUUAUUUCUUCUUUUAGAGGAAUAAGUCUUUAGUUUUUAGUUUGAGUCUUUUGCUUUUGGUCUCUCCCCCGAUGUAUUCGAGCUUACGAGCUAUAUAAUAAAGAGUGUCUUAGUCAAAGGGCUUUGCUUUGUGCCAUGAUCAAAAGUAUGAAAAGAACGAUAGCAUGAAAGAUCAUGAGACGAUCUUAUGGAAAGUGAUAACUUCACUUAUGACACGUAUGAUGAUUGAAACUUGUCGAGAAUAAAUCAACACAUACCUCAGUCAUUGUUGCAAUUAAUAAGAAGUAAUAAGGAAAGAGAGGUUCACAUAUAAAUAUAUCAUCUUAGACACUUUCUACAAUUGUGAGCACUCACCAAACUAUUACAUGCCUAGGAGUAGAUGUUGGACAAGGAAGACAACAUAAUGAAUUGUGUUUGCUUGGUUCCAAACAAUGUUAUAUGAUUAGAGAUCCCUUAGCAUGUGACGAUUGCUUCCACCUCAUAUUAGCCAAAACUUCCGCACCAAGUAGAGAUACUACUUGUGCAUCCAUAAACCUUCAACCCAGUUUUGCCAUGAGAGUCCACCAUACCUACCUAUGGAUUGAAUAAGAUCCUUCAAGUAAGUUGUCAUCGGUGCAAGCAAUAAAAAUUGCUCUCUAAUAUGUAUGAUCUAUUAGUGUGUGGAAAAUAAGCUUUGUACGAACCUGUGAUGAGGAAGACAUAAAAGCGACAGACUGCAUAAUAAAGUUCUUUGUCACAGGAGGCAAUAUAAAGUGACGUUCCUCCGCACUAAGAGGACACGCAUUCAAACCUCAAAAGUGCAUGACAACCUCUGCUUCCCUCUGCGAAGGGCCUAUCUUGUACCUUUACUUUUACCCUUGUAAGAGUCAUGGUGAUCAUCACCAAUUCCCUUUUUGCCUUCGUCUUGGCUACCGUCACAUGCUUGGAAAAGAUCUAUAUUCAUAUAUCAACUUGGAGUUGAGUACUCAUGCUUUAUUGUUGUUGACUUUACCCUUGAGGUAAACCGUUGGGAGGAAAAACUAUAAGCCCCCAUCUUCCUCUGUGUCGAGCUGAAGCUUUGACACCAUGAGUACCACGUGAGCUAUAAAAAUUGUGGAAAACAAAAGAGAUGAUUGAGUAUGUGGGUUUGCCUUACAAGCUCUUAUUUGACUCUUUCUGAUGUUGUGAUAAAUUGCAAUUGCUUCAAUGAUUAUGGACUAUUGUUGGUUACUUCUCGGUAAGGUUUUUGCUUCAUGCUUUGCUUUGUGAAGGAAUUGUUACUUUCCCAUAAGAAUCUUUAUAUAUAUUGUUGUUCUAUGUGUGAUCAUGAUGCCCUCAUGUCUGUAUUAUGUUUUAUCGACACCUUCGUCCCUCAACAUGUGGACGUGUUUAUGGAACUUGGUUUUCGCUUGAGGACAAGCGAGGUCUAAGCUUGGGGGAGUUGAUACGUCCAUUUUGCAUCAUGUUUUCAUGUUGAUAUUUAUUGCUUCUUGGGAUGUUAUAUUACUUGUGGUGCCAUAUUUAUGCCUUUUCGCUCUUAUUUUGCAAGGAUUAUUUGAAGAGGGAGAAUUCAGGCAGCUGGAAUUCUGGACUAGAAAAGGAGCAAAUCCUAGUCCACUAUUCUGCACAUCUCCAAAUGCCCUGAAAAUUUACGUGGAUUUUUUCUGGAAUAUAUUAAAAAUACUGGGCGAAAGAACUACUGGAGGGGGGCCACCAGGGCCCCACAAGCUUGCCCACCACCACCACCCCCUGGUGGCGCACGGUAGGCUUGUGGGCAGCCCACUAGCCCACUAGCCCCCCUCUUUUGCUAUAUGAUGCGUCCUGACCUGGAAAAAAUCAUACAGGAGCUUUUUCGUGGUUUCGCCGCCACCACGGGGCGGAACUUGAGCAGAUCCAAUCUAGAGCUCUGGCAGGACAAUCCUGCCGGGGAAAUUUCCCUCCCGGAGGGGGGAAUCGUCGCCAUCUUCAUCACCAACACUCCUCUCGUCGGAGGGGAGGCAUCUUCAUCAACAUCUUCAUCAGCACCAUCUCUUCUCCAAUCCCUAGUUCAUCUCUUGUAACCAAUCUUCAUCUCGCAACUCAAAUUGGUACUUGUAAGGUUGCUAGUAGUGUUGAUUACUCUUUGUACUUGAUGCUUGUUGGAUUACUUGGUGGAAGAUUUUAUGUUCAGAUCCUUGAUGCUAUUCAUUACACCUCUGGUCAUGAUUAUGAUUAUGUCUUGUGAGUAGUUACUUUUGUUCCUGAGGACAUGGAAUAAGUCAUGCUGAUAAUAGUCAUGUGAAUUUGAUAUUCGUUCGGUAUUUUGAUAUGAUGUAUGUUGUUUUUCCUCUAGUGGUGUUAUGUGAAUGUCAACUACAUAACACUUCACCAUAUUUGGGUCUAGAGGAAGGCAUUGGAAAGUAGUAAGUAGAUGAUGGGUUGCUGGAGUGACAGAAGCUUGAACCCCAGUUUAUGCGCUACUUCGUGAGGGGUUGAUUUGGAUCCACUAGUUUAAUGCUAUGGUUAGACUUUGUCUUAAUUCUUCUUUUGUAGUUGCGGAUGCUUGCGAGAUAGGUUAAUCAUAAGUGGGAUGCUUGUCCAAGUAAGGGCAGUACCCAAGUGCCGGUCCACCCACAUAUCAAACUAUCAAAGUAACGAAUGCGAAUCAUAUGAACAUGAUGAAACUAGUAUGACAGAAAUUCCCGUGUGUCCUCGGGAGCGUUUUCCUCCUAUAAGACUUUGUUCAGGCUUGUCCCUUGCUACAAAAGGGAUUGGGCCACUUGCUGCACCGUUGCUACUACUUGUUACUUGUUACUCUUUGCUUGCUACGUUUCACCUCGCUACACAAUCACUUGUUACCGCUACUUUCAGUGCUUGCAGUUAUUACCUUGCUGAAAUCCGUUUAUCAGAGCCUUUUGCUCCUCGUUGGGUUCGACACUCUUACUUAUCGAAAUGACUACGAUUGAUCCCCUAUACUUGUGGGUCAUCAAGUUGCGUGAUCACAUGGUCAUAGGAACAGAAACAUUGACAUGCAGAAAAAUAGUAGCAAUAAACUGACACGAUCAUAUGCUACAUUUAUAGUUCGGUUCUUGUCCAUCACAUCAUUCUCCCAAUGAUGUGAUCCCGUCAUCAAGUGACAACACUUGCCUAUGGCCAGGAAACCUUGACCAUCUUUGAUCAACGAGCUAGUCAACUAGAGGCUCACUAGGGACAGUGGGUUGUCUAUGUAUCCACACAUGUAUUUGAGUUUCCAAUCAAUACAAUUCUAGCAUGGAUAAAUAAAUGAUUAUUACGAACAAGGAAAUAUAAUAAUAACCAAUUUAUUAUUGCCUCUAGGGCAUAUUUCCAACAAUUUCUAUGUAAAAGGUGCGGAUAGUACCUCAUUCUCGUCUAUCCCAAGCUGAGGUAUGUCACCGACCCUAUGCUCAUCCAUGCAUACAAAAUUAUCCACUGGAGCCCUGAAUAAUUUUUUAUAGUAUUCAAAGAUAUAUUGUUUGAGAUUCUCAUGUCCCACAAUUGUACCCUCAUCUUGUUCUAGCUGGAUAAUUUUUUUAUUCCUAUGCUUUCCAUUAGCUAUUAGAUGGAAAUGUUGUGUGUUGUCAUCUCCUUGUACCACUUGGAGGACUUUCGCUCUUAGUGCCCACUUCAACUCCUCCUCUCUGAGUAGUUGUUUGAGCUUUAGUUCAGCCUCCAUUUUUCAAUGACCUCUCAUUGUCACCUAAUAACGUUUGUUCGGCUUUUAUGUCUAGUGUGUUUAUAAGUUUAUAAGUUCGACAAGCCUUUGUUUCUUUUUCUUAUAAAUUACACUAUCGUGCUUUUCCCAACCCCUUAAGAAUUGCCUCAGGUGUCUUAUCUUAUUUUGCCACCUGUCAACAUUCGAGUCACCUUCUGUGAAAUAGCCCAUUCUCAAACCCGUCCCUUUCAAACCAUCCCAAUUCGAAAGAAAAAAGGUUUUUAUUUCCCACAUGUGUUGCUUCUCGCGAGUCUACAAACAGUGGGGUAUGAUCAGAGAUAGCUCUUGGUAACUCUCAAACUGUGACGAGAGGGAAUUUCUGCUCCCAUUCCACACUCAUGAGAACCCGGUCCAACUUCUCAAAAGUUGGGUUAGGUAAAGAGUUUGCCCAAGUAAACUUUCUCCCUGAUAGCUCAAUCUCCCACAAAUUAAGGCUCUCGAUGAUUGAAUUAAACAUAAAUGACCAUCUUCCAUCAAAGUUAUCACUGUUUUUCUCAUCCUGCCUCCAGAUUAUAUUAAAAUCGCCCCCUACUAAAAUCGGCAGUCUCUCGUCCCCGCAGAUUCGGACAAGGUCAGCCAAGAAAUCUCUCUUGAACUCAGGCUGGGCCGCCCCAUGCACAUCUACGAGUGCCCAUUGGAACCCGUCAUCUUUGGAGCGAACUCAAAAUUUGACUGCAAAGUCUCCAUACACCACUUUCGUAGUUGUGGUGUCUCGCACCGAACCCCAAGCAAGAUCCCACCUGAUCUUCCUCUUGGAGGUAGACAAUGCCAGUCAAAUUCAGAACCUCCAUACAACGUGUUUAAAAACGAAGCUAUAUAGUUAUCUCUCCCAGUUUCCAUCAAUGCAACGAAAUCCAAUUUGUGCUCAAUAGUUGUUUCAGCUAGGAAUCUUCUUUUAGCCAAGUCUGCUAGACCUCUGCUAUUCCAAAAUGUUCCUUUCAUCGCUCAUCAUGAAAUUUCUUAGCCGUUUUAAAUCUAGCACUACGACGCACAGCUGAAACAGGAUAGACUUUUCUCUUCCAGGUUCUUUUUGGCCUAUCCUGAACCUCCGACCGAUCCACAUAACCGUUGGACUCUUGUGCGUUAGCAUUCGUUUGUGGAGGAGCCUCAUACCCCUCCUGAACGAUAUCAUUUGUGUCUUCAAGCAAAAGGGGGGUGGCACAAGAUCCUCACAUAAACGCUCUAAGGCUCCCAAACCCAAUGCAUUUAUAUCAGAAUCAUUCAUAGGUUUUACGGCUGCAAUUUUUCUGACCAUCUCAAUUGCCCUCUCUGCCUCUAAGUCUAACAUGUCAUUUACCGAUCUAGAUAUCUCCUGGUCUACCAAACGCUAGAAUAAGGCCUAGUAACGGGCCCGACCCAUGCCAUUUUGGCCCAUGACUGCAACCAAACACACCCUUAAGUAACUUCUACAAUAUCCAUCCCCAACUUCCAGAAAUUCUAACACUUAAAAAAUCAAAAUCAAACUAUUGGCAUUUAAAACUUUCAUACAUUUCAUUUCUGAAAAAAAUGGUCUUUUAGAUUUCGAAAUAUCAGUAUUAUAUUUUUUACAAAAUUUAACUUUAAGAAUUUUCAAAAUUAUAAGGAUUCAAAAUUCAAAUGUUUUAGCACUUAAAAAAAUUCAAACUUUAAAAAAAUUGAACUUUCAAAUGUUUUGAAUUUUAAGAAGUGUGAACUUUCAUUUUUUUAUAAAGGAUGGGUUUUAUUUACUCAAAAUAAAGCAUCAAGAGCAUACAAAUACAAUAAGAACACACCCGGCCACUUUAUAACUAGGAUGCACACAACCAACUCAAACUCACACACACAAAAAUACGAUCGGUAAAUAGCAAAGUCAUAUAAGACCAAAGCUAUGUGCGCGGUUGGAAAAAGAAACCAAAGCGACCAUAUUGGCAAUGGACAAACUACAACAAUGACCAUAUCUGCACCAACAAUUUCAUUACACCACACGGACAACGAGGUUCCUCAACAAUGACACCUUCAGAAAGGGAGCGACGCUCAAAUGCCGCUAUCAUCGGAUCCAACCAUCCAAGGUCAGAUGCAAGAUUUUCACUCUGAGAAUCAGUCCAAGCAUGUCCGAGCAAUUCCUUCAAUAAGGUAAUGGCGUAAAAACAUCGCCAUUGCCAGGUACAGCCAACUCGAGUUGGACCUAGGCUUUCACCCGGGAGCUCAAGACCGGGUGCUCGAGAAGCACCACCAUCGAAGUCACUAUGUGUUGUUGCCACUACUUUUCCACAAUCUCAGUAGCUAUAUGCGAUGUGUGACCGCUGAUGCUGCACAACCAUCCCUCUACAUCAAGCCAUCAUCAAUAGUUUCAAUCUCACCGUUGAAGUCAACCAUCGGAUCUCCAAGAUCAAUCAUGAAGACCUUUUGAUGGAUACUACAUCAAUCCGCCGCGAGACCGCCACCGUAGUCAUGGUGGUCACCACACGUUCGUCGUCACGCCCCUAGCAGACCUAAAGGUCCACACCAAGGAACCACGGGUCCACACGCAUGGAGCCAUGGAUGUGUGUGUGGAUCAUGAAACGACCAAUCCAUGGCCAUGGCCAUUAGAUGAGACUAUCCCUGGCUGAUGGCAGGUGUCCAAGCCCUGCCGACAUGGCCACUACACCAUGGGCGCCAUCCCACAUGAAGGAGCCACCAGGCGGAGCAGCGACCACAAGUGAGGCGAGAUCUACACCAGCAAUGGCUGGAUCAUCCAGGUAACUGUCCGCUGGAUCUGUGGUGACAUCGUUGGAGGAAGCACGGGGUAGAGAGUGUGAAUCUGGGUUGGGGGAGAGGGGAAGGUCGGGGAAGAAGAUCCCUGUGGCGGUUGAGUCCCGCCGCCGCUGACAAACUGUCAUCGAUGAUGACGACGAGGAUGGAACAUCGGAGGCGGCCUCGAGUGCUAGGGUUUCUCGCCCCCGGUGUCGCCCUGGAGCAACACGGGAGGCCGAUGGCGAUUUCAUAGGAGAGAGAGAGAGAAGGUUGAGAAAUAGAAUCACAUGGUUGGGCAUGUGAGGAAAGAGAGAGAUGGAAAGAAGCACAUGGAUGAGGCCCCCUCGUCCUAUCUACCACAUGGUAACCUGACACAGUCACAUGCAAUGCUUGCGGCAAUGACCAUGGGCACAGUUCCCACAAGAGAGCAUUCUUAGAGUAAUAGCGAGUCUCAUCCUCAUGUUGGAUGCCUAUAUAAAGCUUCUCCUUUCCAACAUUCAUCAUACGAAUUGGCCAAAAUUUCUUUCUCAUUUGUGAUCUUUCAUCACAUUCAACUUUCCUUUGUAUAUAUUGUUGCUAAGCUUCAAAUUCUAAUCAGCUGGAGCUAAGCAAUGAAUUCUUCAUGCCAUCGAGCAUUCCUCGUGAGGAACAUCUUUUGUACUUUGGAAUGAGUGGUAUCGAGAAAUUAGUCAGGACGACUUUCUGAGGCUGAGGCGCCGCUUUUUUCUGUUCUCGUCUCUGAGACGUUGAGGUGGUAGACAUUUAUGAUAAGUGCAUUUCUUGUUGAGAAUAGCAUCGAUAAUCAUGUCUAGUCUAACAACUUGCUCAUUUAGGACUACCCUGGACAGUGCAACAAGUAAAAUACCAAAUCCUUGUACAAAAACAAGUUGUUGCCCUGUGGUGAGGAGUUGAAGCUAUGGCAUGAACUCGUCCAUGUGUGCGGUAUUUCUCCUUGUUGUUUCCAUCGUCUCUAGAAAUCGCUAAAAAGAUCAAAAACAAUAUCAAACCGUUGACACUAUGUGUCUACCAUCUCACACAAAUUCGAACCCAUAUCCAUCGCAGAUCUCCAAAAACAAACAAACAAGACGGAUCCAGUGUUGAACAGCAUAGCAACUAAUUCAAAUCAGCACAUGAACACAUCAUAUCAUCAGCACCAACACAAGAUUGUUUUUUUUUCUCUUUUCUUCAAACAAUAUCCUGAUUAAGGUUUAAAUAUUCUUGUGGCGUUGUAAAUACAUGUUGUGUGUCAGAGACAUAAUUCUUUUUCAAAUAAAAAAACAUAACUUUUUUUACCACAAAUUUUUCUAGGCUUAUGUGUGUGUAUCUUCCUUGUUUCAGUUCCAAGUGACAAGAGGCAAACUUGUCACGGUUGACUGAAUAGAACAGUAGCAAUCGACCUGCCCGGAGCUUCUAUUUUUUGUAGGUGAUUUUCUCUGUUAAGAGUGACUUCUUCUUUUUUGAGAGUUUUGUUAAGAGUGACAUGAAAUCUGCAUAUGGCGAUCGAGCACGCAUGCCGGCGAUCCCACACGGCGCACCGCAGCCACAAGCCGAUCGCCCCCACAAAAUCUGCCCGACGGCUCCCACCGGGAUGGGAUUCCCCGGUGCCAAUGGCGCGCGCCCACCUCACCCCCUCUUAUCCCCGCCUCACCCACUCGCGCCACGCCCCUUAUCCCCUCCUCUUACAAACCCACACAAACUAAUCAUCGCCCACCACCCUCCAACGAUCACCAACCAAAACCCCUCCACACGCCCGCCCGCGCGCGCCACGGACGCAGCAAUGGCCGCCCUCGCCGCCUCCAUCGCCACCUCCACGGCGUUCGCCGCGAAGCCGCGCCUGUCCCGCCCGCCGGCGCGCCUCUCCGUCUCCUGCUCCGCGUCCAGCGGCGACAACAACAACAGCACCGCCACCCCCUCGCUCUCCGCCUCCAUCAAGACCUUCUCGGCCGCGCUGGCGCUCUCCUCCGUGCUCCUCUCCUCCGCCGCCACCUCCCCGCCCCCCGCGGCUGCCGACAUCGCCGGCCUGACCCCGUGCAAGGAGUCCAAGGCCUUCGCCAAGCGGGAGAAGCAGUCGGUCAAGAAGCUCAACUCGUCGCUCAAGAAGUACGCGCCCGACUCCGCCCCGGCGCUCGCCAUCCAGGCCACCAUCGACAAGACCAAGCGCCGGUUCGAGAACUACGGCAAGUUCGGCCUGCUCUGCGGCUCCGACGGCCUGCCCCACCUCAUCGUCAGCGGCGACCAGCGGCACUGGGGCGAGUUCAUCACCCCCGGCGUGCUCUUCCUCUACAUCGCCGGCUGGAUCGGCUGGGUCGGACGCAGCUACCUCAUCGCCGUCAGCGGCGAGAAGAAGCCCGCCAUGAGGGAGAUCAUCAUCGACGUCGAGCUCGCCGCCAGGAUCAUCCCCAGGGGCUUCAUCUGGCCCGUCGCCGCAUACCGCGAGCUCAUCAACGGCGACCUCGUCGUCGACGACGCCGACAUCGGCUACUAAGAAGCUGCCAUGCGUGCGUGCGUGCGUGGUUGGCUAGUCGGUCCCAAGUCAGGU
Molecule: long non-coding RNA, 45875 nt
Filed under: Hordeum vulgare
Lineage: Eukaryota; Viridiplantae; Streptophyta; Magnoliopsida; Poales; Poaceae
Description: long non-coding RNA (HVUL_LNC013953)
Source: RNAcentral